RNAcentral lists this long non-coding RNA (55509 nucleotides) under Capsicum annuum. Its description in RNAcentral is "long non-coding RNA (CANN_LNC013702)". The record is from RNAcentral. Lineage: Eukaryota; Viridiplantae; Streptophyta; Magnoliopsida; Solanales; Solanaceae.
UUUAUUACAACCAAAUAAGAAAAAGAAAAGAUAGGAAAACAUUUUAAGAAAACAUUUUCCAUAGUACCAAACACACUUAAUCAAAAAUUCUCUCUCUAUAGUUCAUAUGCUCAUACGAAACCCUAACUGUAUUUCAUCAAAAAUGGAUUGAUUUCACAACUUUGACAUGACAUCAGAGUUAGGAAUUCUGAAUCUCUAUUCGUCGAUCUACAUAGCGAUGUUACCCCCUAUUAAUUUCCAAUCAGUAUUAUCGGAAAAGGUUAUCUCUGCUCGAAAUUUUGUUGAUCGUCUUUGGAUUGCCGCCGGUUUGGUUUACUAUUUUGUUUCGAUUUUGGUUGGUGAAGAUUGUUGGUUCAUCAGCUGUAGUGGUAUUCUCAAGGUCGUUACUGUUUUGCGACUGUGAAGACGAUGGGUAAUUUCUUUCCUGCUCUAUUUUUGCUUGAUUCAUCUCCUCUUUGAGCUUUUACAUCGACUUAUCAUGGUGACUAAUGCGACUUGUAGUCAAGAUGGUACUUCAACUACUCCUGCUUUUGAUUACUUGAACCCUAUGUUCAUAUCUACCUCCGAUGUGACUGGGAUUUCUCUUAUUAUUGUUCAUUUUUCAGGAUCCAAUUUUAAGGGAUGGAAACAUAAUAUGAUAGUUUCUUUGUCUAUUAGGAAUAAGAUGGCGUUUAUAAAUGGAUCUUAUAUUAGGCCAACCGAGUUACCUUAGUUCGGGCAGUGGGAUAAAUGUAACAGAUUACUUAUAUAUCCUGGUUGGCUAGUUCACUCUCACUUGACAUUGCUGAAAGUGUUCAAUAUUCUGACACUGCUAAGAGUAUUUGGGACCAAUUGUCCAAACGAUAUAGAUGUGUUAUUGGUACCAAUAUUUUUGAGAUUAAAAAAGAGUUGACGUCCACUAAUCAAGUCUCUCUAGACAUUGCUUCUUAUUUCAACAAGCUUAAGAAAUUUUGGGAUGAGCUUAGGUUUAUGUGUAAAAAUAAUACAAAUACUUGUACUUGUGCUAUGAAGCUUGAUCUAGAGAAGGAAGAAGAAGAAAACAAGGUAAAUCAAUUCGUCAUGGGUUUCAAUGAGACCUAUGAGGGAGUGAGGAGUAAUUUGCUCAUGAUGCAGCCUUUCCCUUCUCUGGAUUCUGCCUACCAUGUUCUUCUUUGAAAUGAAAGGCAGAGACAAGUUACUAAUUAUGUGCAGUUUUCCAAUGACAGUGCCUCGUUUGAUGUUAAACAAACUUUCCUAAGAAAUUCCCUGCUUCAGGCUCUUAUCCCUCAAAAUCUCCACAAACCUAUAACUCUAAAAAAAUCAGAGAAUCAAUUUCAACCUAGAUAAAUCCUUCCUGUUAUGCAAGUAUUACAAAAGAUCUAGACAUUUGAUAAAAAAAAGGCCACGGAUUGUGUGAUUUACACUUGAUUUCAAGUUUUCCAAUCCUAAGGGCAAGAAAGUUAUUGCUUCUGCUGAAGUUCAACCUUCUGAUUCUACUACCAUUGGAUUUUAAGGACAUCUAUCUCGUGAUAUUUCCUCCAUGCUUGCUAGGUUCUCCACGGAGCAGUGUGCACAGGCCAUGCUUUUGCUUCAGAAAGAUUCAGACCCUUCUUCUAGCCUAAUGGCAUCUGCUCACUUAGCUAGUACAUUUCCUUUGCCUAGUUAUAUAGAAAAUGUGUCUUAUGGUGCAUGCAUGAUUAGUAAAGUAGAUGAAGACAUUUGAAUUAUAGAUUCUAGGGACACAGACAACAUGACAUCAAAUAAAGACCUUUUAUUUGAUAAUAAGCCCUUAUAGAUUCUAGGGCCACAGACCACAUGACAUCAAAUAAAGACCAAUUGUAGGGGUGCGGAUAACUUAAUAACUUAAAUAGAUCUAUUGUAUUUUUAUUUGUGCGUGGAUAUUUCUUAACUUCUUUAAAUAUUUUUAUUUUUAGUUUAUUGUUCAUAUCUUGGGGGUGAUUAACUGGUAUUUGAUUAAAUGCUUUACUGUAGUAUUCUUUAGUUUUUCUCUUAGUCUUUGUAAUUCUUCUAUAUUAUUUUUGAGGUAUUCUAAAUAUUCUAUAUCUUUUGUUCUAAAAUAUUCGAUUAAAUUCUCAUUCAUAAGCAUUUCUUCUAAUCUUAUUUCUUUCAUAUCUUGUCUUCAAUAGUUUAAAUACUCAUUAGUUUAUCAUUUUAUUCUAAAGUAGUUGCUUGUUUACUAGUUUCUGUGUAAUAUUCUAUUCUAAUUGUACUAUAAUUUAUAUCUGAAUUAAGGUUAUUAAUACUAUUAAUUAUCUCCCUUUCUUCUUCUCUUAAUGAGUUUUUUUAUGUAUAUAAACUUUUAUCUGUAUUUUUUUCUAAAUUUUCCAAGGUUUCUUUUAUCCAUAUUAAUUUUUCUUUUAGAUUUUCUAUUAUUUCUUUGAGUUGGUUUCUAUAAUUAAUUUCUUCAUAUAGGUCACUUUGGUUUUCUCUAAUUUUUCUAAUAUCUUCUAACAUUUUAGUCUGAAUAAUAUCCAUCUGGGUAAUUAUCUAGGUAUAGUUGUUCUAUCUAAUUUAUAAUUUCAAUUUCAUAGUCUAAUAUUAUUCUUUUAAUAUCUAUAAUUUCUAAGUAUAUACAAGAUUAAUAUUUUAAGAUUAUCUGUCUUUUAAAAUUGGUUAAAUAUUUUAUUAUAAUAUUUUUUAAUUUUUUGUUUUAAUCUCAUUAAUUCUUCUAUAUUUUCACUGAGAAAUUGUAUAUAUUUUAUAUCUUUAGUCCUCAUAUAUUCAUCUAAAUUUGUUUUCAUUUGUUUUUCUGUUGAUUGUAUAUUUUUUAUAUUCAUUUUCCAAAAUUCUAAAUAUACAUAAUUUAUCAUGAUUGAUAUGCAGGUUUGGUAUAUAAGCAUUUAUAAGAGUAGUUAGGUUAGUGUGGUAUAUAAUUUACUCUAGUCAUAAAAUACAGAUAUAAGAAAAAUCAUAUUAGAAAAAAAUAUAUUUGAUAAAUAUUUUAUGACUAGAGUAAAUUAUAUACCACACUUAUCUAACUACUCUUACAAAUGCUUAUAUACCAAACCUGCAUAUCAACCAUGAUAAAUUAUGUAUAUUUAGAAUUUUGGAAAAUGAAUAUGAAAAAUAUACAAUCAACAGAAAAACAAAUAAAAACAAAUUUAGAUGAAUAUAUGAGGACUAAAGAUACAAAAUAUAUACAAUUUCUCAGUGAAAAUAUAGAAGAAUUAAUGAGAUUAAAACAAAAAAUUAAAAAAUAUUAUAAUAAAAUAUUUAAUCAAUUUUAAAUGGCAGAUAAUCUUAAAAUAUUAAUCUUGUAUAUACUUAGAAAUUAUAGAUAUUAAGAGAAUAAUAUUAGAUUAUGAAAUUAAAAUUAUAAAUUAGAUAGAACAACUAUACCUAGAUAAUUACCCAGAUGGAUAUUAUUCAGACUAAAAUGUUAGAAGAUAUUAGAAAAGUUAGAGAAAACCAAAGUGACCUAUAUGAAGAAAUUAAUUAUAGAAACCAACUUAAAGAAAUAAUAGAAAAUCUAAACGAAAAAUUAAUAUAGAUAAAAGAAUCCUUAGAAAAUUUAGAAAAAAGUACAGAUAAAAGUUUAUAUAACAUAAAAAACUCAUUAAGAGAAAGAAGAAAGGGAGAUAAUUAGUAUUAAUAACCUUAAUUCAGUUAUAAAUUAUAGUACAAAUAGAAUAUUACACAGAAACUAGUAAACAAGCAACUACUUUAGAAUAAAAUGAUAAACUAAUGAGUAUUUAAAAUAUUGGAGACAAGAUAUGAAAGAAAUAAGAUUAGAAGAAAUGCUUAUGAAUAAGAAUUUAAUCGAAUAUUUUAGAACAAAAGAUAUAGAAUAUUUAGAAUACCUCAAAAAUAAUAUAGAAGAAUUACAAAGAUUAAGAGAAAAAAAUAAAGAAUACUACAAUAAAGCAUUUAAUCAAAUACCAGUUAAUCACCCCCAAGAUAUGAGCAAUAAACUAAAAAUAAAAAUAUUUAGAGAAGUUAAGAAAUAUCCACGCACAAAUAAAAAUAUAAUAGAUCUAUUUAAUCCCCUUGUAAUACCUUUCCAAAUGGUUACAAAGUCAAAGUGACUUAUACGGGAUUUAUAAAUUUUCCAUCUUUUACAUUAUAUCAUGUUCUUUACAUAUCCCAUGUAGACACGUCUGCACCAUCUCUUACUACUUUCACUACUCAUGUCAGUAAUAGUUUCACUUCUAAUACUUCUCCUAUUGAUCAUGGUACUCCCCCUUUUGUAAUUCCCAGUACUUCCCAUUCCCAUUGUAAAAAUUCCAUUGAUUUGAAUAAAAUUGACAUUUUAUGGAACACAUGUCAUUUGUGAAAAUGAAAGCUAUUUGUACUUUGCCUUGUAAUCUUUCCCUCUUAUCAAAGUUUUUCUUGCCAUGGUGCAAAAUCAGUUCAACUCUUUCAAUCCAAUCAAUUAGAAGUAUAAUGCUCUUAAAUUAGGAUCUAACACUUAUGCCUCUUUAUUUUUCAUGACAAAAUUGAUGAUCUCAUGAACAGAGUGUCAAUUACACAGGGCAAAUUUAUUACAGAAACGAUGGAACAUCAUUACGGGGCGGGUAAACUUUAAAGGAGCUAUUACAAAAAAUAGAUGGGACCAGAAGAAGGUUGCAGGUGGAGAGGAUCCCAUGAAGGCAGGAAAAUAUCUCAACCACAGGAGAAAAACUCUGCUUCGGAGAUGCCUGGUUGGUAGAUUCACCGGUGGAGAAAAAGCUCCAACUCGCAAUGACGUUAGAAGGUGGGCAACUCAGACUUGGAAAGGAGUCCCAAACAUUCAGGUCUAUGACAUGGAUGAAUUCAAUUUUUUGUUCGAGUUCCAAACAAGUUGAGCAGCUGAACACAUUCUGAUGGGAGAAUGGAAGAUGCACAACCAGAACCUUGAGCUAGAUUGGUGGAAUCCAACAAAAAUAGGCUUUCUAAACACUACGAGAUUUGAUUGGUACUGGAUCAGGGUUUUGGGUCUUUCUCUGCAACUAUGGAAUUCUGAUACUAUGAAAAAGAUUGGUGAUGAAUGUGGAGGGUGGCUGGAGAAUAAAGAAGAGACUGAGCUCAGAAACCACUUGAGAUGGGCCAGAAUCAGAGUAAAAGGACCGAGGGAAAAAAUCCUGUCCUCCAUUGAAGUCGAUGAUGAAAAUCUGACCUUUUCUCUGCCGAUAUAGUGUGAGGAACCAGCAACUUAUCGAAAAAGAUCACCGGAGAAGAGGAACGACGAUGACAGGUUAAAAGAAAAGAAGUCAAAUCCUAGCACAGCUAUGCCUAUGGAGGCUUUUCAGAACAGAGGAAUGGAGUUUACAGAAGAGAGUAUAUCGAAAUACGAGAUAAACAAAAAAAGGGAAAGGUGGAUUGACCAGGGGCAUAUGCUUUCUGUGGGGUCCUACUUAGGAGAGAGGGAGUUGUGUGUAGGAGGACCUAGUUGUGGACAGCUGGAAAGAGAGAUGAGCAGAGAGAAAGAAAUUCAAAAUCAGGGUUUUUGUGGUGGGCCAAGAAAACACUCUUCAUUUAAUUUGAAAGGCAAUUCAAGCCCAAUUGAUUCAGGCCCAAAACAAAAGAAGCAGCCCUUUACAGAGCCUUUUACGGAGUUCAUUAAUAGAACAAAUACAGAGGCAUGCAAGAGUGUGUAUUUUGUUUAUUUCAAAGGGGGGGACAAACUCAAUAUAGAAGCAGCAGGGAGAAGGAAAAAAGAGAAGAACAUGCAUCUGAAUCAAAAGCAAUUAGACAUACAUGUUCACAAAAAAGGGGAAUCAUCAAUGAAGAACAAUGAAGGACAAAGAAUUGAAGAGGAGGUGGUGGAUUUUUCGGAAUCUCUUCUGGUAAUGUAUGCAGAAUCGGAACCUUUAUAGGUUAUCAACAGUGCACAAGAGGAGGAUCUUGCUACAAAUUAGGUUCAAACAAAUAUGAUCAAACUUGGACAACUGUUUGGAGUAGAUUUUAAAGAGUGAAAAUGAAGCCUAUACGAUGUUAAACAAGAUGGAUCAAAGGAGGAACUAGGAGAAAGGACAAGGGGAGAGUUUACAGGACUCGAGCUCUAAAAAUAUAGUUCCAAAAGAGGUGAGGAAUCUGUUUUUUGACAUGAACUUCAAAGAUGGGGAACCAAGAUCUAGUGGGAGAAUGCUAGCUUUAACAAAUCAAUGAAAGUAAAGCUAGUAUCAUGGAAUGUGAGGGGGUUAAAUGGGGUUGAAAAAAGGGACAUGGUCAGGAAAUUACUACGUCAAUGGGAUGCGGAUAUUUAUGUUCUAGUUGAAAUAAAGCUAGAAGGUCUUGUAGAUGGUAUGCUACGGAGUAUAUGGAGUAAUAGAUGGGUGGGUGAAUUUCAUAAAAUGGCUGUAGGGAGCAGUGGCGGAAUCUUAGUUCUAUGGGAUAAAAGGGUGUGGAUAGGAGAAAUGAUGGAGAUUGGUGUUCAAAGUGUUACUGGGAAAUUCACUGGGGUAAAUGAUGAUUUUAGCUUUUCCAUCACUGCAGCAGUCUAUGCAAAUUGCAAUAGAAGAAUCAGGAAGACGUUGUGGGAGGAGUUGGUAACUAUCAGAAGUAGAUAUAGUGGGCCAUGGAUAGUGUGCGGUGACUUUAAUGUUACCAGAUUCCCCUCUGAAAGAACAAAUUGUACGAGACUGAAUGGUGCUAUGACAGAGUUUUCUUCAUGUAUCGAGGAACAGGAGCUGGUUGAUCCCCCUUUAUUUGGAGGAUCAUAUACCUGGAGGGGAGGAGAGAAAAACAAAACUGCCUAAAGGAUCGAUAGAUUCCUACAUUGUACACAAUGGGGGGAAAGUUUUUUUACAGAUCAGGCAAAAUGUGCUACCAAGACUAACUUUCUAUCACAACCCCAUUGCCUUGACAUGUGGGGACUGGGAGUGGAAGAAAACCUACUUUAAAUUUGAAACAUGGUGGCUGGAAGUGGAAGGAUUCAAAGACAAAGUAAAAGACUGGUGGAACUCCUUCAAUGUUGAAGGAAGAGCAGGCUUCAUACUAGCUGAAAAGUUGAAGUUACUAAAGGCUGAAUUGAAAAAGUGGAGUAGGGACAACAAAGGUAACUGGAAGCAAAGAAAAGAGGACAUUUUGAACCAGAUUACAAACCUGGAAAACAUCCAGGAAUGCAGAAUCCUCACUGAUGAUGAAGUUCUACAAAAGACCAAUUUGGCGAUGGAGUUUGAAGAGAUAGUAAAAAAUGAGGAGAUAGCUUGGAAGCAAAGGUCAAGGAUACAAUGGUUGAAAAGUGGUGAUAAGAACACAAAGUUCUUUCGUAGAAUUGCAACUUCAUACAAGAGGUUCAAUUCUAUGGAACAACUUCAAUUGGAAGGAGUCAUGGUAAAAGAUCCAGUUAUAAUCAAGGAGGCAAUGCAUGAUUUCUACAUGAAUCUAUUCAAAGAGUCUGAACAAUGGAGACCUGAUCUUAACAUACCGGAUGUUACUACAAUUUCUAAGGAGGAAUGGACUUGGUUGCAAAGACCUUUUGAAGAGGAAGAAAUUUAAGAAGGGAUUAGAAUGUGUGCAAUGGAGAAGGCACCUGACCUUUCAGACUUUUUGGGAGAUACUGAAGGAAGAUAUAAUCAACACUCUGUCUGAUUUCUACUACAAUCAAGACUUUUGAAAAGAAUUUCAAUGCAACUUUCAUAGCUCUAAUCCCUAAAAAGAUGGGAGCUUCGGAGUUGACGGAUUACAGACUAAUCAGCCUAAUAGGAGUGGUGUACAAGAUCAUAGCUAAGUUGCUGGCAGAAAGGCUUAAGAAGGUGGUGAGCAAGCUGGUUAAUAAAAAUCAAAUGACCUUUAUAAAAGGAAGACAAAUCAUGGAUGCUGCACUCAUAGCCAGUGAAUGUAUAGAUUUAAGGAUGAAAAGUGGAGAUCCAGGGCUACUAUGCAAAUUGGACAUCCAGAAAGCUUAUGACCAUGCAAAUUGGUUUUUCAUUCUCAACAUCUCGAAACAAAUGGGUUUUGGUAGCAAAUAGUUGAAAUGGAUAUAAGUUUGUAUAAAGACGGUGAGAUUUUCAGUUUUAGUUAAUAGUGAACUAGUUGGAUUCUUUCCAUCGGAAAGAGGAUUGAGACAAGGGGAUCCUCUAUCCCCCUUUCUCUUUAUUUUGGCAAUGGAAGGAUUUGAUAGCAUGAUGAGAAUAGCUACACGACAGAGAUGGAUUAGAGGCUUUCUUACAAGGGACACGCUAGGAGCGAGAAAAGAGACCAGUCACUUACUGUAUGCAGAUGAUACCAUUAUCAUGUGUGAGCCAGAGACGGAGCAAUUGAAUUAUAUCAGGCUGAUCUUGAUCCUUUUUGAAGCAGUAUCAAGUCUAAGGGUAAAUUGGGGAAAAAGUAGUUUGAUUCCUGUCAAAGAUGUACCUCAGAUUCAUGAAUUGGCUAAGGUCCUGGGAUGCAAAAUUGAGGGAUUGCUAACCACGUAUUUGGGUAUUCCCUUAGGAAGCAAACACAAAGCAUUGGAGAUAUAGGAUGGGAUCCCGGAGAAAGCAAAAAAGAAACUGACUAGGUGGAAAUCACAAUAUCUCUCUCUGGGGGGAAGAAUGGUUUUGAUUAAUUCUGUCUUGGACUCCUCCCUACUUAUGUGAUGUCCUUAUUCCUUAUUCCUUCAAAAAUGGUCAAAAAACUAGAUAGACUUCGAAGGAACUUUCUCUGGGAAGGAGGCAAAGAAAGGAAGGGUUAUCACUUAGUGAAAUGGAAUAGUGUCAUGUUGAGCAAAGAUAGAGGAGGCUUGGGCAUCAGAAACCUAAGUAUUCAAAAUAAAAUUCUUCUAAUGAAGUGGCUGUAGAGGUGCAUCAGUGAAGAGGGAACCCUUUGGAAGGAGGUGAUAGUAGCAAAAUAUAGUGAGUUGAACCCCUGGUGCACAGAGGCGGUCACAUUACCAUAUAGAUGGGGAGUUUGGAGAACUAUUAGAAAUUUGUGGAGUUGCAUGGAAGAAAAUGUGAUUCUCAAAGUGGGAAAUGGCAACAAGUUCAAGUUUUGGAAAGAUGGUUGGAUUGAUCAAAAUCCUUUGAGUGAGUUAUUCCGGAUCUCUUCUCAAUUAAACACCAAUCCAGAAAGUAGGGUCAUCGAAUGUUGGUCUAUACAUGGUGGAAUCUCUCUUUCGGAAGGCUAAGCAAGGACUGGGAAGUAGAUAGGGUGGCUCUCCUACUGGAAAACUGGAAGGAACUAAACUAGACACAAAUGUACCAGACAAGAUCAUUUGGAAACACAACAAGGAUGGAAAGUUCACAGUUAAUAGUGCAUACAAACAAGGGAUACAAGGGGACCUGGAAAUAAUAACCAUCAAUGGAAGACCAUAUGGAGAGGCUUGAUUCCUUCAAAGGUGAAGUGUUUCACGUGGCUAGUGAUCAAAAGAGCAUGUCUUACCCUAGAAAUCCUUCAGAAGAAAGGAAAGACGCUAGUCCCUAGAUGCUUUCUAUGCAACCUGACAGGGGAGACUAAUAGUCACUUAUUUAUGCAUUGCAAGUAUACAACUCAACUCUGGGAACUCUUUCUUAACAUCAACAGUUACAGUUGGUUCAUGCCUGAACACACAGCUGACUUAUAUAGUUGCUGGAUCAGAAAGGGGGGGGGGGGGGGGGAAAAACAGUCUAUAUGGAUAGAAAGAAAUGAGAGAUGUUUUGAAGAUAAAUCCAAUUCCAUUCAAAAAGUAAAAUGGAAUUGUUUAGUAUCUUUACUUUUUUGGUGUAAACAAUUGUGUAUAGUGGAUGUAGAUGAGAUUGUAGAUCUAAUAGGAAGUCUAUAAUUUUGAUUAAGGUUAUGUAAUUUCUGAAGGUGGCCAGCAUAUCCUAAUGCUGAGGAAUACCAAUUUACCAAUGUUCAAAAAAAAAUAAAAAUAAAAAUGGAAUUUUUCAUCAUACUUCUUGUCCCCAUACACCUCAACAAAAUGGUGUUGUUGAAAGUAAACUUAGAUAUUGUUGAAAACCUUUAGGGUUUUGUUAUUCCAAUCUAGAGUUCCUUUUAAAUUCUGGGGGAAUGUUUACCUGUAAUCGUAUACCUUUACAAUGGGUUUCCCUCUACUCUUUUUUACAGCAAAACUUCAUUUGAACUCUUACAUGGAACUUCCCCUUCCUAUUCCCACAUUAAGGUCUUUGGUUCCUUUGUUAUUCUUUUAUUCCUAAAUGUUAUAGACAAGUUUCAACCUAGAGAUGAUCCUUGUAUUUUUCUGGGAGAUCUUCUAAAUAAGAAAGGGUACAAACUCUACAACUUGACCUAUAAGCUCACUUUCAUUUCUAGAGAUAUUGUUUUCAAUGAAAAUAUUUUCCCAUUCAUUACUCCUUUACUGUUUCCCUCUACUUCUUUUUCUAAGUCUCCUGUUCCUAUUUUUCCUGACAUGUCACUAGAUCCAUUUACCUCUUUGUCACUUCCUCAUUCACCUAUUUUCCCACCUGAAACCAUUCCUUCUAAUCCUCCCCUCUUAAAAGAUCUAGCAGACCUCAUUUUCUACCUUCUCAUCUUCAAGAAUUUAUUUGUGUCCUACCUUCCUCCAACUAUGGCUUUAGUUCUUCUGUACUUUUUAGACAUUUAGCUAAUAGUGUUGUCCUUGAGCCUCAUUCUUAUCAACAUGCAACAUCUAUACCUGCUUGGCUGGACACCAUGACAGCUGAAUUUACUACUUUUCAGGCUAAUGACACUUGGUCAGUCGUACCUUCACCCAUUGACAAGAAACCCAUCGGUUGCAAAUAGGUUUUCAAGAUGAAAUAUAAAGUUGACGAAUCUAUUUAGAGGUACAAGACCCGGCUAGUUGUUAGAGGUGACUCUCAGGUAUAGGGGCUAGAUUUGUAUGAGACGUUCUUCCCGAUGGUUAUGUUUUGUACUGUUAAAUAUUUAAUUGUUGUGGAUGUUAAAAAAGGUUGGCCCCACUUCUAGUUAGAUGUCAACAAUAUUUUUUGCAUGGUGACUUAGAGAAGGAGGUAUAUAUGAAGCUUCCCGCAGGUUUGAUGGUUGAUGCUUCUUCUGGUUCUUCUCCUUUAGUUUAUAAACUUCAAAAAUCUCUAUAUGGCCUAUGCUAAGCUUCUAGGCAGUGGUACGCAAAGCUUUCUCAAGCUUUGUCUUCUCGAGGGUAUUUUCACUCUUCCAAUGAUCACUCAUUAUUCAUUAACAGGACUGAAUCUUCAACUGUACUUCUUGCUAUAUAUGUGGAUCACUCAUACUAUCUGGUGAUGAUCUUGUUGAGAUCUACUCUCAAAUUCAUUUUAGAUUCGAAUUUUAAGACCAAAUAUUUGGGCCACCUCAAUUAUUUUUUGGGUAUUGAAGCUUAUUAUUCUCCUUCUGGUUUGCUACUACACUAAUGUUUAUUAAAGGACCUGCUUAUGAAAUAUCACUGUGAUACUGCAAGCCUUGUCACCUGCCCUCUUGGCCUGUCUGUCAAGCUUUCAUAUGGGUGAUCCUUUACCCAAUCUCGAGUGUUAUCAGAAUUGGUGGGAAAACUAAAAUUUUGGCUCAUAUUCAUCUUGAUUUGUCCUUUGUUGUUCAACAUUUAAGUCAAUAUCUCCAGAAACCCACCUCUUUCCACAUGAAGGUUGUCUUACAUUUGUGCGUUAUUUGAAGGGAUCAUCUGAUGUGGGUGUUUUUUCCAACUCUCUAGAUUUUUCUUUAUCUGCAUAUUAUGAUGGUGAUUGGGUUGCUUGCCCUGAUACUCAUUGAUCUGUAACUGAUUUUUGUGUUUUGCUCAAGGGCUUUCUCUCUUGGAAGGCCAAAAAGUAGAUGUGAUAUCUUUUUCUUCAGUUGAGGCUGAGUACAAAUCAAUUAGCAAAGUCUUUUUUAUUAUGGACUUGUUAUAUCUACUCCAGUUCCUAUGUUUUGUGAUAAUCGGGUUGUAAUUUAGAUUGUCAAUAUUCCGAUUUUUCAUGAACGCACGAAGCACAUUGAGAUCUAUUGCCAUUUCACCCGCAAGUGUCUUCACUUUGAAACAUAUUUAUACUCUUUCUCAGUUGGCUGAUGUGUUAACUAAGUCCCUUGUAGGCUUGUUCACCAUCCUAUUCUUCUCAAGUUGGGCGUUCAAGGCCCUUCCAACUUGCGGGGGAGGUUUUUUUUGGUGUUUGGAGUUUCUCCAUCUCAAGUUAAUAUUGAUCAAACAGCUGUAGAGGAUCCAGCAUGAUAGACCCAAUGUAGUAUUGUAUUUAUUUUAUUUUAUAUUGUGCCCCACUUGUAUUUUGAGUAAUAAGGCCCACAUGUAUAUAUAAGGGCAAUGGGUCUUUCUAGAAGAUGGAUUCACUCAUUGUAAAUCAGAUAAUUUCUCUUUCUUAAUAAAAAAUUCUCUCCCAACAGUUCAUAUGCUCAUACAAAGCCCUUACUGCCUGCAUUUCAUCAAAGUCGGAUCGCUUUCACAACUUUGACAGAUCUAGGGCAAAUUCGUGAAUGGCUUUGAAGAGGCACUAAAUCGAGAAAUUAGACACACAAAAGUAAGUUGAAAGGAAGAAUUCAAAAAAUGAAUCAAAAGGUUGAAGGGAUGUGUUUUUGGCUAUAAGCAAAGGUGAUCAGAAUAGAUGGAGGGAAAAAAAAAAGAGGAAUCUAGUGAAAGAAGAAGAGGUUAUUGUGUAUAAUUAAGUUGUAUAACAUUGUAAAGGUAAAGUUUAGAUAAACACCUUUUAUACUCCUAUUAUUUGUAUUUAUACAUAUAUAUACAUGUGUAUAAACCUGUAUAAAUUGGUAUAAAAUUGCAUAAAAUUGUACAAAAGUGAUACUCCAUUCGUCUCAAAAUAGUCGACAUGUCUCAUGUUUGAAGAGUCAGCUUGACUAAUUUUCAAAUUUAAAUUAGAUUAGGUUAAUUUAGUACUUUAAAAUUAAAAUUUAGAUAUUUAAAAAUUAUAUAAAAAGUACUAUAAGUUACAACUUUCCUUUUAUCAAUAUGAUUAAAAUUACAUCUUAAAAUAUUUAUCAAAAUUUAUAUCGUUUUGACUUUAAAAAAGAAAAAGAAAACAUGACAACUAUUUUGAGACGACGGGAGUUUUAAGUUGUAUAUCGUAUAAAAAUGAGGCUAAAUGACUGUAAUUAAUUUUAUCGAUGUUAUAAAUGUAUUUACAUUAUAGUGAAUGUCAAAAAUGUAUUUACAUUAUAUUGAAUGUCUAUUAAAAUAUAGUGAAUAUCUAUCAAGAUAUAUUGAGUAUUUAUCAAGAUUUAGUGAUUAUCUAUCAAGUGAUGGAAUCAGAGGCGGAUCCAAGAUUCGAAAGCUCUGGAAGUCACCUUGUUUUGAACAAUAACGUAUACUCCGUACGAUAUUUUAGGAUAGUGGAAUCAAUAUUCGAAGAGUAAACUAUAAUUAUAUAUUUCUUACAAGUGUUAGUAUUGCUUGUCUAGUUGGUAUUGUUAAGCGCUUCGUAAAGAAAAGGUCAUGAGUUCUAUUCUUCAUAGCCAUACUAUGUGUUUUUUUUAAGAGAAAACAGACAAGUGCUAAAAAUCAUUCUAAAAAUAGCAGGUUUUGAACACACAUUGUUGAAGUUAAACCCAACAAUUUCAACCACUUACACCACUAGUCCCUUUGAUAUUAUGGGUGCCAAGCAUAAUAUCGAGAAGCGCGGGUGUCGUGCCACCCCAUACCUUCUACAUAGAUCCGCCCUUGGAUGGAAUGCCUAUCUUUCGGAGAGAAAUUAGAAGGAAGUUUUCCUGUAAAUAGAGGGUUCUCUUCGUUGUAACUCAUCACUCAAGAUGAUCCCUCAUCUCUCAAUUGAAAUAAAAUAUCUCUACUCCAUUCUUCUUGUUUUUACUUUAAUAUUCCAUAACACGUUAUCAACACGAAGCUUCAAUCGACUGACUAGAUGGAGAAAUAAUCUUUCACUAGAAUCAGGUAAUACCUUCCAAUAUGACUCUUUUCUUCAUUCCCUACUUGCAUUUGGAUUAUUAAAAUUAUGGAUGGGUUGUAUAGCCAAAUUUUGUGUGAAUAUGGUCAUCGGUCAGGCUAUAGCUAGUUAAUUACAGCAUGAAUUGGAAUUUUUUGUAAUUUAUCCUGAUAUUGAAGUAAUUUGUAUGCCACUAUGCAACAUGAAGCCAUCCUUAUAAUUGUUCACAAAUAUCGAUGCUCAUCCUUAUAAUUUGUUCACUCCCGUGAAUAAUUGACAACAAUGCUAUUGUGGAGAAUUUCUUGCUAAAUGCAUGAUUUGCUUAAAAAAACUAUGUUACCAUCUCAAUUUAUCAAGUUAGAAUAGUCAAUCUCAAUUUCAAAAUAUUUUGAUACCUACUUUACUUUUGUAAAAUAAAGAUUGUGAACUAAAACAAUGAAUCAAAAGGCUGAAGGAAAGUGCUUUUUGCUAUAAGCAAAGGUGAUCAAAAUAGAUGGAGGAAAAAAAGAGGAAUCUAGUAAAAGAAGAAGAGGUUAUUGUGUAUAAUUCAGUUGUAUAAUAAUGUAAAUGUAAAAGUUUAUAUAAACGCCUUUUAUGGACUUAUUAUUUGUAUAUAUACAUUUGUGUAUAAACUUAUAUUAAGUAGUAUACAAUUGCAUAAAAUUGUAUAAAAGUGAUACUCCAUCUGUCUCAAAAUAGUUGACCUGUUUCAUUUUUUACGAUUCAGUUUGAAUAAUUUUUAAAUUUUAAUUAGAUUAGGUUAAUUCAAUACUUUAAAAUUAAAAUUUGAAUAUUUAAAAACUAUAUGAAAAGUACUAUAAGUUACAACUUUCCUUUUGUCAAUAUGAUUAAAAAGUACAUCUUAAAAUAUUCAUCAAAAUUUAUAUCGUUUUGACUUUAAAAAAAUAAAACAUGACAACUAUUUUGAGACGAAGGGCGUAUAAAGUUGUAUAUCGGAUAAAAAUGAGGCUAAACGGGUGUAAUUAAUUUUAUAGGUAUCAUAAAUGUAUUUACAUUAUAGUGAAUGCAUAUCAAGAUAUAUUGAAUAUCUAUCAAGAUUUAGUGAGUAUCUAUCAACAGAUGGAAUGCCUAUGUUUUGAAGAGAAAUUAGGAGGAAGGGGUUCUCUUUAUUGUAACUCAUUACUCAAGAUGAUCCCUCAUCCCCCAACUGAAAUAAGAUAUCUCUUCUCUCUAUUCUUCUUGUUCUUACUUUAAUAUUUGAUAACACGUUAUCAACAUGAAACUUUAACCUACUGACUAGCUGGACAAACAAUCUUUCGCUAGAAUCAGGUAAUACAUUCCAAUAUAACUCUUGUCUUCAUCCCCUACUUGCCUCUGGAUUAUUAAAACUAUGAAUGUGUUGUAUAUCCAAAUUUUUAGGAAUAUGGUCAUCAGUCAGAUUGCAACUAAUUAAUUAUAACAUGAAUUGAGAACUGUUUGUAAUUUAUCCUGAUAUUGGAGUAAUCUGUAUGUCAUUACGCAACAUAAAGCUAUAUAACAAUUUAUAUUUCUUUUUCACAAAUAUUGAUGCUCAUCCUUAUAAUUUGUUCACUCCCAGAAAUAAUUGACAACAAUGCUAUUAUGGAGUUUCUUGCUAAGUGCACGUUUUGCUAAAAGAAACUAUGUUACCGUCUCGAUUUUUCAAGUUAGAAUGAUCGAUCUCAAAAUAUUUUGAUAUCUACUUUACUUUUGUAAAACAAAGAUUGUGAACUUCGUUUACUGACAAGCUAUUGAAUAAUUCUUUGGCCUAUUAUGUUAUUGAUUGAGGAUAAGGCGGUGAAUUCAUUGCACUAAAAGAGUAAGACAUUAGGUUAGAGUCCUAAUGCACCACGAUGAUAAGAUGUUGGGUUCAAAUUCCAUCAAUUUAUGACAAGAUAUUGGGUUCAAGUUUCAUUGAUUAUGACUUAAGAUGUCUUAUAUGGAUAAGACGUUGAGUUUGAAUCUCAACGCACCAUAUUGUUGAUAUAAUGAUGGUUAAGGCAUAAUAACGUGUAUUUGGUUAAAACUCAUGAAACCUAUCCCAUUGAGUAUUCUCCAUUUCAUGAAGAGAAUGUGGUAGCAAUAAAUCAUACGUAUGCCUCGAUAUGUUCUUCUAGUAGUAAUAUCAUAAAAGGGGUUCUAAGCUAUCAUAAUUUGAUAUGCUUAAGACACGAUUAUAGUUCAAUCCUGAAAAAUAAGAAUUUUGAUUGUUAUAAAUACUGAACCAUACCAUGGGGGUGAAUGUGACUGUAUUAGUAAACCUUAUAAAUUUAAACAUAUUUUUUAUUUCGAAGAUAUCACAAUACACCUCCAGAAGAAGUAGAAUAGUUGGAAGACUUAAUAUAUCCAAGAUACUAUGGUAAGAAACAUGAAUGAGAAAUGUAAUCCCUACAUGAUAAGAUCACGUGCCAUAAUAAACUAGAAGUUUAUUGAUAUAUAAUUCAUGUCAUAGUAAAUUAGAAGUUUACUAAAGCAAAAAAGCACAUGUCAUAAUAAAAUUAGAGUUUGCUAGUAUUAAAGUUCAUAAGUUGACAUGAACAAUCAUGACAUUUUGAAGAUGUACAUAUUAAGUGUUAGACAUAUAUUGACAACAACAAACCCAGUGUAUUCCCACUUAGUGGGGUCUGGGUUAGACAUAUAUUGAAGAACUAAAAAAAUCUUCAAAAAUUAUUUAUGUUGUUAGUUCUCAUGGUGAGUUGAUAAGAUCAACAAAUGUUGGGAUCGGAUCCCCUAAAUUCUCAAAAGUUUAAAAGUUGAACAAAAGCCUGUUCAUCUAUCACGUGAUAUAUUGAAUAGAUGCAUCAUUAAGAUGAUCACAUGUAUAUUUAUUUUUAACCUGCAGUUUGACAUUUGCAAAGUUGUUUGUUCAAUAUAAAUUGAGUUAAAUAAUAAUUUUUAGAUUGAGUAAUCACGAUAAUUUAUCUUGAUAAUGCUGAUUUGACAUUGAAUACCUUCGAUAUAUAGUUGAACCACUACUUAUGAGAAAAGAACUUCAUGUGUUGGUCAGAAAUAUGAUAUAUUGCAUACAAUAACACUCGUAUACAUUGAAUCAAUAAAUUAUGAUUAAUUUCUCUCUCUCAAUUGAUUCAAGGUCAGGAACUAAAUAUUUCAUCUAACAAAUUUUUAUGUGCGGUAUACAACUAAUGGAUAUACUAUGAUGCAUAAAGAUGAUUUCUCUAAAGUAAAUUGAAAUGUAUUUUAGUUUUUCUAACAUAAGGAGAAAUAAUAAGCAGCUAAGAAAUACGUAGUGAAUUAUCAAUAUGAUCUUCAUUCAAAAGAUAAUUCAAGUCAAAUGCUAGGAGCAUUUGCUGACCCCAAAUUAAUUUUAUAUUUAGCCGCAGAUGCUUCUAUUAGGUGUCCCUAAAGGACAAAGUCUACAACAUUCAUGAAGUGUGGUAGACCAUAAUCCAUCCCAAAUGAAAUAAUCUUUGAAAAAGAUAAGAAACAAAUGAUCAUAAUAAGGAAACAAUGUGCUCUUGAAGAGUCUAUGACAUAACACUUCAUGAACCUUAUGAGAGGUUUAAAUACCUAAAAUAAUGAAGUGAUGAGAUCUCAAAAUGUUAUGUCACAUUACGAAUCGAUACAAAAUGAUAUAUCAUUGAUGAUAUCUUUGAUAUAAUAUGACACAAUAUUGUAAAAGAUUAUGAGAAUUUAAAUUCUACAUUUAUUUAAGCAUGUUGACGUAAAAUAUUUAUCAAGUGACAUGAAAAGAUGUAUUUUGAUAAGCAUAAACUUAUUUGAUUUGCAGUCCAGACACUAGAAGAUAUCACACAUGAAAUGUUGAAUAUUGUCAUAUGACAAAAAUCUAUAUGAUAAUCCAUAAAAGAUUCAAAAUGCCUGAAACAUAUAAAAGCUUUUGAAGAACUUAUUUACAAUUCUUAUAAUAGAUAAAUUGAUGAUUUAAUUAUUGUUGAAACUCUUGGAGAGUUUUAAAAAAUGAUAGAUUAUUGUUAAGAGAAGUUGAAACAAGAAACAUGCAGAAUUGAAUUGGAUCCCGAAGUACCAUAUCCUAUGUAAUUGAUGCAUUUAUACAUCUUCCUAUAACUAUGAGCAUGAUAUAGUUUUACUCCUAUAUGUGGAGAUAGUGAAGUAGACCAUUUGCAUACUGUAAUUGAAAGCCCCUGCAAUAAUAUGUUUAUCCUAACGAAUAUUGUCAAGUUUUUGAAUAUACGAAAUAUUCAUAUGAUUGACCUAAGAGUUCGAUACAAACAUAUUAUUUAUUGUUAUGGAAACUUUCUUUCACAACAUGUUAAUAUUUUACAUGACAAUCAAAUAGGACUGAUAUAAUGACUAUUCGCAAAGAAAGUCGAGAUUGUAUUUGGCUGAGGUCAAUGAUACAUCUCAUUCGACAAAAAUCUGAUUAAAAUAUCCACUUAAACAAAAAUGUCGCGUGCAUGACACAACAACUAAUGAAAGGAUUCGUAAAAGGAGAAAGAAUGAAGAAAAUUUCUUCAAAGUUAUCUACACACACAAACUCCCAAAGAGUGAUGAUAUCCAUGUGUAAUAGAUUUAUUUAAGUGAUAAUAUGAAUUUAUUCAUCAAGUCUCUAUCAAUUAUAACUUUCGAGAAGAUGGUGCACAAGAUUGGAAUACGAAGAUUCGGGAUUUUGUUCUCAUCGGAGGAGCUUAUACAUGUUGUACUCUUUUUUCCUUUAAAGGUUUUGUCCCAUUGAAUUUUUUCAUAAUGUAUUAAAUGGGGCAGCCAAAAUGCGUAUUAUUAGAGAUGUAUACUCUUUUUUCUUUAGAUUUUUUCCUUAAUUAAUUUUUUCAGUAAAAUUUUAACGAGGCAUUCAAUGAGAGUGUUAUAAAUAUAUUUCAUUAUAGUGAAUGCCUAUCAAAAUAUAAUAUCAAAGUAUUGAGAUAUAUUGAGUAUCUAUCAAAAUUUAGUGAGUAUCUAUCAAGAGAUGAAAUGUUCAUCUUUUAAAAAAAAUUAGGAAUUUUUUUCUCUAUAAAUAGAGAAAUUCUCUUCAUUAUAGCUCAUCCCUCAACUGAAAUAAGAUAUCUCUUCACUUCAUUCUUCUGGUUCUUAUUUUUAAUAUUUUAAUAUUUCUUAAUAAUAAGCAAAUUUUUCCUUAAGUAUUUCAGUUUUAAGUAAGUUAUUUCAAGUUUACUUACGACCCACAAGUCACAACCUAUACUUCCUAUGCAAUCUAUGUCACACCCCUUUUUUAAAUCCAACAAGAAAGAUAUUAUUUUUAAGUCUAAAAGGGUUUUUAUUAUCAAAGUGACAAAAGGUGAAAAUUAUUUCGAAAAGGAUUCGUUUUGUAAUUAACUCAAAGUCGCCACUUGGCAUAAAUUGGGUGAGCCAAGUCACCCUUGGAUAUCUUUUUUCAAAAUGGUUUUGACUCUUUAAAACUGAUUUGCGAACAGAGAUUCCGGCUAAGAAAUUUUGUUGACCGAGGGAAAGGUGUUAGGCAUCCCUCGAUCCCGUGGUUCGACCAUGGCCGCUUGAUGAAGUGUAUUGGAUAAUUUGACAUUACAAAUGUAUAAACCAUAAAAAACACAUAAAACAAUCAAUCAAACACACGAAACAAAAGAAAUCCAAAAUUAUAGUGUCCAGUCCGAUUAUUACAACCUGAAAUAAAAAAAAGCACUGAAAAGUAAACCUAUACUAAUCCUAAACUACACUCCAAUGCUUUACCCGAUGCCCCGGGCCUUCAUCGCGAACAUCUUUCGAAUACAAGGUACCUCGGGGCAUUCCUCAGUGAAUGAAUACAAAUGACCAUGAGGCAUUCCCCAACUAAAUGAAUACAUUUUCAAAUGCGAGAAAAAGAGAAUUAUUCAACAAAACACCAUUACUAAAAUUUGCCUAUCCGACUUAGUAUUUGCCUAACCAUUUAACGAUCUAAAACAUGAUACUAGCAAUUUCAACAAUAUCCAACAAUGAAUUAAAAUACCACAAUAUUCACUUUUUAUCAUUUUCGCAAUUCUGUCCCCAAAUUCAUUCUCAGCCGAUGAUUAACAUAUGCUUCGAUUAUCAAAUCACCUUUCAAAGUCCAAAAUCAACAUCAACCAACACAUAACAAAGAUUCAAACAUACCAAACGGACAAAUCAUUCACAAUUACAUAAAAAUUAAAGGAAGAGGAGAUAGAAUUGGACCUCGAUUUUUAUUUUAAUCCCAAAUCAUUCGACAAAGCUACCAUCGGAAUAACCCUAAUUGAACCUCAACAACGACGAAACCCAACUCCGUAUAGAGGAACAACAACCCAAAAACUGCUCACAAAUAACCCGAUUGAGAUGAACGAAAAUCAAAUCCCAAACCAAUAUAAGCCUGGAGCGUUCGAAAUAGAAAUCGUGAUAAAAUUAACCCGAUUGAUAUUUUUCGUAAGAAAACCAUUGAAAUAAUUUGACUAAUUCCUUUUAACAGUGGCUGCGUCCGUCAAAAGCAACGAAUUUCGGCGAGUUUGAGGACUUCGGAAUAGAGUACACGGAAACAGAUGAACUAGUCACCGAUUUCGAUGAAAAUUUUGCCAAAAUUUUUUGAACAACGAUCGGAUUCCCCCCUUCCCCCCGAUCUCUCACUCUCAAUUUUCUACUGUAUCUUUUUCUCUUUCUCCGUUACUCUCUCUCUCUUCGCGACUCUCUCUCUCGAUCUAUCCCUUUUUUUGUGUGUAAAUUAUGUGUUAAUGGAGUUGUUGCUGUGUUCGCUCUCACUGUGUGGGUGUUGCUGUUGGGUGAGCGAUGGAGGAGUGUGAUUGUGAGCUGGUGGAGAAGAAAGAAAAAAUGGCCUGCUCUCCUUUUUUUCCUGAGUAUCUAUUCUUUCUUUUAUAUCCCCUGGACCUUUGUAUUCCUGAGUAUGUAUAUGCGUGGAUCUAUGUGGAACAGGAGAAAAGUUGGGUCUCUCUUUCUUUUCUAUUUUUGGUAUAAGAAAAGUGUGUAAUGAAUGGUGAUAGUGUGAGGGGUCACGUGGGUGGGUAGUGGGGUAGGGUAGGUGGGUGAAUUGUUUAGGAUAAAGUUUGUUAGGAUAGGAUUGAAACAAGAUAACAUUUAUCAAGGGUUGUUAUUUUUGUAUUUUUGUGGGGUAUAAUUACAUAGAUGAGGGUCUGUGGUAAUGUGAGCUAAAAAUAAAUAAAAUUGGACUUGCGAGGGACAAAAUUAGAUGUCUACAAUCUAAUACUACUUUGUUGAGUGAGACAUUACCAAAACCUAAAUGUAAACACAACACAAAACUUUCUUGUGAAGGAUCAAACUUGAGUUGAAAAUAAUUCCUUAUUCAUGAAGGUCUUUCAAAUGCUUUGAAUAAACUAAUUCCACAAAAUAUUUGCCAUUAAAAAAAUUACAUGAAGCUCUUUUAAAUGCUCUGAAUCAACUAGUUUUACAAAAUAUUUAUCAUCCACAAAAUAGACGAAGCUCUUUUAAAUGCUCGAAUGUCAUCCACAAAAUAUCUGUGCUACUUCUACCAAAAGAUCUGCUACUUUCACCUCCACAAAUAGAUUACCUGAUAUUUUGCUCUGUUCGUUGGUAAUUCUUCUUCAGUAAUUUCAAAACCUUGAGUGGUAGCUAGUCAAGUAAAGAGCUUGAAAGAGCUAGUCAAGUGGUAUUAAAUAAGUUGUGUCCUCCUAAGGGCGAGGGUGAGGUCAGUGGAUGAAGUGAAUUGAAGUGGUAUCGAAUAACACUGCUUGACAUAAUGUGCCUUCGGACAUACGCGAUAGGCGAUAGAAAAAUGAUAGAAAAUGGCAUACCAUAAGUGACUUGAAGUGGUUGUUGGGUUCAAUAUGUAUGAAAAAUGAAGGAAAAAUAGUGGAGAGAAAGAGAGACACUAAAAUGAAAAGUGUACUCUUUUAAGGGAAAGUUCACUAAUUCUCCUACAUUGGUGGGAGAAGGUAACUUUGAAGUGUUUAUAAUAAGAAGCACUUACUCCACAUGGAUAGUGAGGCAAGAACAAGGUGGUGCCUCGCGCCAUCGUCAUCGUCGCUCGGCUCGGCUUCGGCCUUCGACUUCGAAUUCGAAUUUGACAAAUGAUCGAUCGAUGAGAAAGUUUAUUCGACAAAAAUUUAAUUCGAAAAUACCAAAGAAAAAAAUAUAACAAAUUAUUUCUGUGUUUUGAUCCUCCAUUUAUAUGCAUGCAUGCGGUGUCGGAAACACUGUUUUUGAAAUGCAGUGUAGAAGCAAAUUGAUGCUUUGAAAAGGAUGCAAUCUUUGAAUGAAAUGAUACACUGAUUCAUGAAAUGGUAUGCCUGUUUGGAAAAGACGCAUUCUUUGGAUGAACAUACAUGAUUUUGCAGAAAGGUCAAACUUUUUAAGUGAACCAUUGCCAUUUUUCAGAAGAGGCACCUGAUGGGUAUAUAAACCUGCUUUCAUCUAUAGGUUUAGGUACGAAAAAUUUUCGUAACAUACAAACUCUUCUUGUCUUCAAAAACAUUCCAUGCGAUCAAUCAAAUCGGUGAGUGAGUUCAAAGAGAUUCUAAUUGUUUGAGGUACCGCUAUAGAUGGGUUGUUUAGCCAUUUUAUCCCGGGAGAAAGAUUCCAUAAACUUGGGUACAGUGAGGGAAAUUAUUCCUUAAAGACACUCCGUGAAGUCAGGGGACUUGGCCUUAAAAAAUUUGCUUCAUCUCAUUUCUGAAACUUAACAUACUUCUUGGAUAGAUUAUUCGUAAUCUUGUGUUGAAUUUGUUAAAAGAACUUCAUGAGUGUUCUUGUCUUAGACUUGAACUUGUGUUGAAGUUAUUGUUGCAUAUAUAUAUAUAUACAGAUUUUUGUACUCGAAAACGUUGAAAAUAACAUUCUUAAGGAAUAAGACUUUCGAAAUCUGUAUAGUUUGUUUUUGGAGAUCAAAGCUUUAAGCUUUCUACUCCGUUUCAACUUAACUAGUGAUUUAAAGAUAUAAAAUCUUCAUCACAAGUUAAAGAUCACUCAGUUAACGAUUGAAAGUCAUAAAAACUUCAUCGUUAAAUUAGAGACAAGAAUACUAGUAUUACCACGACGAGUCAUACUAAUGCUCCACAAGCUAUGGCACCGGCGGAGAAACCCAAAAAGUUUGCGGGUAUUGACUCCAAGAGAUGGCAGCAGAAAAUGUUUUUCUACCUCACAAAUCUCUGUCUUCAAAGGUUCACGGUUAAGGAAGCUCCGGAAGUUCCCGAGGAAACCUCUGAAAAAGAAUGCUCUAUGAUUGUGGAGGCUUGAAAAUACUCAGAUUUUCUUUGCAGGAAUUAUAUCUUGAGUGGUCUCCAAGAUGACCUUUACAAUGUGUAUAGCGGAACCAAGAUUGCAAAAGAGUUAUGGGGAACGCUAGAAAGAAAGUACAAGAUGGAGGAUGCCGGAAUUUAAAAGUUAUUUAUUGCAAGAUUCCUGGAGUACAAAAUGAUAGACAACAAGUCUGUUGUUUCACAAGUGCAGGAACUGCAAGUGAUCAUCCAUGAUCUCCUAAUGGAAGGUAUGAUUUUGACAAAUACCGUUGUUGAACAAUUUAAAAAUGUUCUUAGUAUUCAUAUGAACUUUAUGUAGAUUUGAUUUUGAAUGAAGCAUUUCAAGUAACAACAAUAAUAGAGAAACUACCACCUAUGUGGAAAGACUUCAAAAACUAUUUGUAACAUAAACGUAAGAAAAUGUCAGUCAAAGAUCUGAUUGUACGACUACGCAUUGAAGAAGAUAAUAAGGCUGUGGAAAGAAGGUCAAGAGGUAAUUCUGCAAUGAGUGGAGCAAACAUUGUAGAAGAUAACCAAAAUAAUUCUAAAAAUGAAAGAAAUCUGGAAAUGAAAGCAAUCAACCCUAGAAAAAGUUCAAGGGAAAGUGAUUCAACUGUGGCAAGAUUGGCCACAAGUCUACGGAUUAUCGUACCCCAAAUAAAGGGAAGAAGAAGGACCAAGCAAAUCUGGUUGAGUCUAAGAAAUAAAUGGAUGAUUUGUGUGCUAUGCUUUCUAAAUGCAACUUGGUGGGAAAUCCUCGUGAAUGGUGGAUGGAUUCUGGUGCCACCCACCAUGUUUGUGCUAACAAGAAGUUAUUUUCGACAUUUUCUCCUGCUCAAGUAGAAGAAAAGAUCUACAUGUCAAACUCCGCUACUACAAAAGUGGAAGGAACAGGAAAAGUGUGCUUGAAGAUGACUUCCGGCAAAGUGUUGACACUUAACAAUGUCUUGUAUGUUCCUGAGUUACGAAAGAACUUGAUUUCUGUUUCACUUCUAGACAAGAACGAAUUCAAAUGUGUAUUUAUUUCCGGAAAAAUUAUACUUAGUAAAGGAGAAGUGUAUGUAGGAAAAGGCUACCUCAAUGAGGAACUAUUCAAAAUGAAUGUAAUGAAUGUUGAAAUCAAUAAAAGUUCAAAUUCUUCUUACUUGGUUGAGUCUCCCAAUUUGUGGCAUGAACGACUAGGCCAUGUUAAUUACAAAACAUUAUGAAAACUGAUUAACUUAGAAAUUUUGCCAAACUUUGAAUGCAAUAAAUCAAAGUGUCAAACUUGUGUGGAAUCAAAGUAUGCUAAGCAUCCGUGUAAGUCCGUUGAAAGAAAUUUUAAUCCCUUAGACUUAAUCCACACUGAUAUUUGUGAUAUGAAGUCAAUACCAUCACAUAGUGAAAAAAAUAUUUCAUAACUUUUAUUGAAGAUUGCACUAGAUAUUGUUAUGUCUGCUUGAUAAAUAGUAAGUAUGAAGCAAUAGAAGCGUUUAGACAAUACAAAACUGAAGUUGAAAAUCAAUUAGAGAAAAAGAUCAAAACUAUAAGAAGUGAUAGGAGCGGAGAAUAUGAAUCUCCCAUCGCCGAAAUAUGUGUAGAGAAUGAAAUUGUCCAUCAAUAUAAGACCCCGUAUUUACCUCAAUCUAAUGGAAUUAUGGAAAUAAAAAAUCAAACUUUGAAGAAAAUGAUGAAUGUCUUACUUAUAAGUUCAGGUUUACCACAAAGCUUGUGGGGAGAGGCUAUCUUUACAGCCAACUGAAUACUCAAUAGAGUUCCCCAAGAAUGACUCUGAAAUUUCUUGAAAGAUAUUCCUUAUUAGCCCAAACUAGUGGCACUAGUAUGUAUACACUGUGAUAACCAAGAGGCAAUAAGUAGGGCAAGGAGCAUGAUGAACAACGAUAAAUCUCAUCACAUAAGACGGAGACAUAAUAUCAUUAGAGAACUUCCCUCUAGUGGAAUUAUCACUGUUGACUAUGUGAAGUCAAAGAAUAAUAUGUCAGUUCCAUUUACAAAAGACCUAUCUAGAGAAGGAGUUAAGAUAACAUCUAAGGGAAUGAGUUUGAGGCCUAGGACACGUCAUCAUGAUGGUAACUCUACCUAGCAGACUGGAGAUCCCAAGAGUUAGGUUCCAGGAGAUCAAACAAAGUUGUGUCUAACAGGUUCAACAUUGUCAAAUACCCAACCCAUUCUCAUGAUAUAGAUAAUGUUUAGUAAACAAGGUUAAGACUUAUGGUGUGAAGUCUUUUAAUGAUUAUCUAAAUUUGACAGAUUUGAACAUAUAGUUUAAUUUAUAGGAUUGAACGUUUAGAAAUCACCUAUGUGAGGGCGAAGUGAAAGCCGCUUCAAGGAGAAUGUUUGUAAAGGCCUAUUCUCUAAGCUCUCAUGAAAUCGGAACUGUUCAUGGCUAAAAAGAAAAAACCGUGAGAACCAUAAAUGGUAAAAGUCUGAUUGUGUGACAUGUGUUGUCUAGGUAUACAUUAAAGCUUGACGGUUCAAAGAUAUCAAAUCUACCGAUUGAUCGAGUGUAUCCAAUGCAUGUUCACUAUGGAAAGUUCAAAGGGAGACCCACUUAUCCAAAUGCAAUCAAUCUUUGCUUGAUGAUCACAUACUUGUCCGUAAAAUUUUAUGAAAAAGUAGCCAUUCCUCAUUCAUGUGGGGGAUUGUUGGGUUCAAUAUGUAUGAAAAGUGUGAAUAGAAAAUGGAGGAAAAAUAUUGGAGAGAAAGAGAGACUAAAAUGGAAAGUGUACUCUUUUAAGGAAAAGUUCACUAAUUCUCCCACAUUGGUAGGAGAAGGGAGCUUUGAAGUGUUUAUAAUAAGAAACACUUACUCCACAUGGAUAGUGAGGCAAGAACAAGGUGGUGCCUCACGUCGUCGUCGUUGUCGCUCGGAUUCGGAUUCAAAUUUGUCAAAUGAUCGAUGAGAUCUAUCUUUUUAGACAAAGUUUAUUUGAUAGAAAUUUAAUUAGAAAAUACCAAAGGAAAAAACACAACAAAUUGUUCUGUGUUUUAAUCCUCCAUUUAUAUGGAUGCAGUGGUGGAAACACUAUUUUGAAAUGCAGUGCAGAAGCGAAUUGAUGCUUCAGAAAGAAUGCAACCCUUCAAUGAAAUGACACACUGAUUCAUGAAAUGAUAUGCCUGUUCAGAAAAGAUGCAUUCUUUGAACGAACAGACAUGAUUUUUCAGAAAUGUCACACCUUUUAAGUGAACCAUUGCCACCUUUCACCUUUUAAGUGAACCAUUGCCACCUUUCAGGAGAGGCUAUAUAAACCUACUUUCAUCCACAAGUUUAGGUACAAAAAAUUUUCUGAACAUACAAACUCUUCUUGUCUUCAAAAACAUUCCGUUGAUCAAUCAAAUCGUUGAGUGAGUUCAAAGAGAUUCCAAUUUUUUGAGAUACUGCUAUAAAGAAAAAUUUCAUAACCUCAGGUACACGGAUACUCCAUAAAAUCGGAAAACUUGACCUUAAAAAAUCCAUUUCAUCUCAUUUAUGAAACUUAACAUACUUCUUCGAAUAAUGUUAAAAUUAUUGUUGCAUAUAUAUGUAUAUAUAUACAAAUUCUUGUAUCUGAAAACAUUUAAGUGUCGGGAGUCUAUUAUGUUAAUUGAAGCGGUGUCGGAAGACGAUAGAAAAUGGCACAAUCGAAUUGGGGCAGUGUCGGAAGACAAUAGACUUCCGAUAGAAAAUGGCACAAGCGAAUUGGGGAGGUGUCGGAAGACAAUAGAAAAUGGCAAAAGAGUCUAUUUCAGACAGAAAAUGGCAAAGGAGUCAAUUAUGUUAAUUGAAGCAGUGUCGGAUAACAUUGCUCGACAUAAUGUGUCCCCGGACAAAGGACAUAGGCAAUAGAAAGACGAUAGAAAACGGCCUGAAUUGAAGCAAUGUCGGAUAAAGUCGCGAGCAGAAGGGCAAUAGGCGCAAGUAAAUUGAAGUGGCGACGGAUGACGGAUAACAUUGAUCGACAUAAUGUGCGUCCGCCUCAAAGCAAUAGGGGAAUAGACAGGCGGUAGAAAAUGACACAAGUGAAUUGAAGUGGCCUAGGAUAACAUUGGUCGACAAUGUGCGUCCGCCUAAAGACAAUCGACAAUAGAAAGACAACAGAGAAUGGCAUGUCUCGAGAAGAUUAUUAAAUUACAAAUGACCUAACCGACGACCAAAACAACCAUUACAAAAGGAAAUCUAACAUACGACACUGCGCACAACGCUUACAAAAGACGUCAAAGAAAGCAACUAAAAUUCAAGUGCAGCCUUCACAUCAUUAUUCCAUCCAAAAUACAAGCUAAUUAAGUUCUAACAUCAGUUCGAACAUCGGUCCUUGCACUUUCUUUUCCUUCCUGCGCUUUGCUCUGUAUUGCCUGUCCAGCCUCCUUUGUCUUCUGUCCCACUUGCGCCGCAGCUUCUGCUGCUCGCUCUUGAAUGCGCCUCUUCGUGUAAUCCAACUGCUCCGUCAUUGUCCUCCCUUGCUUAAAAUAAUUCACAAUCCAUGAAAGUGAUGAUAAACCCGUCAACCCAAAUGCACCUAUAUUGGCCAUAUACAUUUUUAGAGUUAUGAUAUCAAAUAAUUUUUUAAACAAAAAUAUAGAAUUAGAGUACAAGCUAUUGAUUUCUGUCACACGCUUACACACAAUGUAGGUUCUAUCGAAGAAAAGAAUGCACUUCUUGUUUCAAUUAUGGACCUAAAACAAUCUUUAAAGUACACUUGUUCAAUGUAUUCGUCCUCAUAUUAAUUUAUGUUGCACCAUUUGAAUGUCUAUUUUUUUUAGUUUUAACUUAAUACUCCCUAAUUUAUGUUGUACCAAUGGAAUUUUGAGAUCCACAAUUACGGUGAACUUGUAUACUAUAAAGUUUUAAAAUUAUUUAAAAUAAAUUGAAUAUUUGAAAGGCAUACCAAAAAAAUAGUGCAAGACACAAUAAUUACCAUGUUAAGAGACGUAUAAGAAAUUGUGAUAUAAAAGCUCUUUUGAGCUUUCAAAAUUCAAAUGAUGCUACAUAAAUUAAGACAUGAGCUUUCAAAAUUCAAAUGAUGACAAAAAUAAAAAAUAAGUAUAUAUAAUCGAUUGAAUCGUGACCUGAAGUCAAGAAGCCAGUGACAGCUAGAGCAACUGUGAGAGCAGCUGGUACGAGGACAGGGCUAAACAACAGAAAGACGGGAGUAGCAACACAAAGGCCAAUAAUAGUCCCAAGAAGAGUAAGCCCCGCAAGUCCCAGAAGGACUCCGCCGACUGGGACAAGCGCGACAACCGCUAGUAUUUGGCUAGUUGAAGGACCUUUUUGUGGAAGAAGUGAUGGCCUAGUCAUACCACCUUCAUAACGUGAAGGAUGAACUUGAACUUGGUGUGGAUAUUGAGUACGGUCAGCCAUAGUGAAUUGACGAUAAUGAUGAUGAUAAGAGAAUUUUUUGUUGUUCAAAUGUGUGAAGAAAUUUGCGUAAAGAGAAAUGAGAAGUGUGUGUUGAUGAGGUGGUGUUUUUAAAGAAAAGGAGGAAAUGCUACGUGGUGUAAUGUUAGAGUAAUGGGCUUGCAUGGAGUACAUGUUGCACUAAGUUCAAAUAAGGGUAAUGACAUUACAUUACAAUAAAAUAGAUGAGGGACAAAUAAUAAUAAGUGUUUGCAGGUGGUGGCACUUUAAGUUGGUAGAUCUAAAGCCAGGGGCGGUAUUAAGAGAGUUGAGGGUGCCACACCAUCCGUAAAUUUUGACGGAAGAUUUUUAUAUAUAUAUAUUAAUAUAGUUAAAUAAUUAAUAUGUCACCCAUAAAAUUGAAGUGCUUUUUAAUUCGAGUGGUAAAGUGUCACAUUAGCUCUCCUAGAUUGUGAGUUCGACCUUUACUGACAAUCUUACUUUUUCUCUUAAUUUUAGGUUGAAGUGAAGCCACAAAUAACUAUUACUAGUUGGCAAUUUCUUUUUUAUGUGUAUUAAUAGUAAUUAUAUUGAAUUUUUCUUUUAUUUUUCGAAUAUUAAUAAUUAAUAUUUAUAUUAAAAAGUGCAUAAUUUUAUUCUCUCUCCUCAAUUAAAAAAAAAAUCAUUUCUCUCAAAUUUCAAUUCCCAAAUCAUCAUAGCUCUCUGCUUUUUGGUUUUUAUUGUUGCUACUGCCGGAGUUUUUGGCAUCGUCGACAAAGAUCACAGUCUCCGCCUCACCAACCACCUCUCUCCGCAUUCAUUAUUAAGUUUACUUGACACCCAAAAAGUUCGAAUCCUGGAUCCGCGUCUGUCUAAAGCUAAUUUGCUAGUACUCGUUUUUCGACCGCUAGAGAUGGUUUAGUGAGUUGUAUAUAUCUAUAUAUUAGAUGCUUUUAGAGAAUUAAAUAAAUUAAAUAUGAAAAGAUAGUAAAAUAUGUUUGAAGUUUUUCUUUUUGUUUGAGUCUCAUAUUUUUGUUCUUGUGUUUGUGUUUUUUUUAUCUUAGUUAUAUUAAUAUCGAGGGGCUCGUAGCAUAGGAAUUUAAUAUAUGUUAUUUUUUAAUGUGAUAUAAAUAAAAUUUAAAUAAUUAAUUAUAUUUUUAAUAUAAAAUUAUUGUAAUUUAUAAUAUUUUUUUCUUUCAAUUUAAGUGAUAUUGAUAUAAUUUCGAGAGUCAAUCAAAUAUCAAGAUUGAAGUAGCGAAACAGUCAUGUCUUAAAUGACUCAUAAUAACUAACUGAAGUGAUAUAACAAAAUUUAUUAUAAAAAUACUUGUGAAAAAAAUUUAAGUGGACCUCAUAUAAGAUGUUAAAUUAAUUUAAAACAUCAAGAGUUAAUUGGUCAUUUUAUAUCUAUUUUAUUUUUUAUUAAAUAUUGUUAAUUUUUUAAUACUUAAAUAACUUAAAAUAAUUAAUUAGGAGUGAUGUAGUAAAAUUAUGGUUGAAGCAGAUAGGUCAUAAAUGUUUAUUUUAUUUUUAAUCAAAUAUUAUUAAUUUUUUAAUACUUUAAUGAUAUAUAAUAAUUAAUUAGGAGUGAUAUAGUAAAAUCAGGAAGCAAGCAGACAGAGUUAAAAAUAUGCAUGACAACCGCUAACUUGACUUCUUGAGCUGGCUGCUUACUCGCUCUGCUAUAUAAUAUAGCAGUAAUAAUUUAUUAAAAUACAAUUAUUAGAUGAAGUGUUUGAAACAAUGAUGAAAAAAAGGUGAUUAUUUAAAUAACUAAAUAUCCAAGUCCUAUGCUUGCAUGGGUUAAAUAUAUAUUACUUUUUUAUCUUAAUUUAUAUGAUAUGAAUAAAAUUUAGAUAAUUAAUUAUAUUUUUAAUAAGUUUUUAGAUAUUUUAAGUUGUUAGCUAUUGCAAUUGUUUUUCUCAAUUAUAAUGAGACUUUGAAUCAAAAGGGACAAAUAAAUUUAUCAAUUAAGUGGGGUCCUUCAAGUUUUAAAAAUUAGGUAAAAGGGAAUAAGAAAGUUCAAUUUUUUUAAAAUAUUUUUUCUCCAAUAACUAAAAAGGUUGUCUCAACAACUAUAUAAGUUGUCUUAAUAAUUAUCAAAAUUGUUCGACUGCAAAGUUGUUUGACAACUUUGAUAACUGUUGAGACAACUAAUACAGUUGUCGAACAACUGUCUUAGUUUUUUAAGCAACUUUAUCUUUUUUAACAUAAUAAUAUUGUGGAACCCACUUAUCACCUUUAUUUAAUUAAAGACUUGAGAGAAACUUUAAGCUCAUUUUUCUAUUUUUAAGUUGCUAGCUAUUGUAAUUUAUAAUAUUUUCUUUGUCCAAACUUUUGUGAUAUUGAUAGUCAAUUAUUUUUUAAAAAUAAUUUAAAUUUUUAAUUAUUAUGAUUUAUUUUUUCUUCUAUUCCAAUUUAAGUAACACUAUAAAAUUUCGAUAGUCAAUCAAAUAUUAUGAUUGAAGUAGUGAACAGACAUGUCUUAAAUGUCUCAUUAUAACUUAGAAGAGAAAAUUGAAGGAAAAAUGUUUUUUAAGUCUUGAAUGAAGGAUUGGUGACAUUGACCAACUUAAAGGGUCAAACAUCAUUAGGAAACUUGAUUAAGUUAAUUAUGAAUUUGAUUAAUAUUUUCCAAACUUUCUAAUCUUUUCAAAAAUACAAAUCAACCCACACCCUUCUUCAAUCCAAAUCAACCAGUCUCUCUUUCCUCUCUCUCUCAACAGCGUCUCUCAACUCUCUCCCAACCAACAGUUUUGCAAAAUUCUCCCUUCAAUUCCCGACGACUUUAACCUCCGGAAAAAAAUAGUCGGGCGAGUUCCCUUUCAACUUUCAAUCGUCAAUCGACAUGAAGACUUCUCUGUCGACAACAACUUCGAGUUUUUCGUCGUUCUAUUUUCUUUUUCAUAGGUAAAAAAUUAUGAAGAAACAGAGGAACUUGAGUCAAUUACUCUUCUAGUAUUGACAUGUGGACUGAAUAAAAUCCUAAUUUCUGUCAUUUUUUCUUCUUGUUAUCUGUUGAUUCAGAUUUAUUGAUGAUUUUUGUUCACAGUUGAUGUUCUUAGUGUGUGAUGUGUUGGUGUUGCUGGGUUGAUUUGUUGUUUGUCUUGGUAAAAAUAGUGUUGCAACAGAUGAAAUAUCUGAUGCGACAGAUGAAGACAUCUGAUGCAACAGAUGAAAACAUCUGAUGAAACAGAUUAAAAUCUGAUGAAACUAUGAAAAUCUGAUGCAACAGAUGAACAAUCUAACAGAUUAUUCAUCUUUUGCGACAGGUGACUCUUCUGUUCGAAGAAAUCUAAACAAUAUUAAUCCAACAGAUAACUCAUUUUACAAUAGAUGAGUGAUAUGUUUCAGCAGAUCAGUGAUCUAUUUUUAUUGUUUCCAAUGAAUUACUCAUCCGUUGCAAUGGGUCAGUUAUAUGUUGCAACAGAUAACAUACUUGGUAUAACAAAUUAGUAAUCUAUUUUUAUGGUUUCUAACAGAUUACUCAUCCAUUACAACAGGUUGGUUAUAUGUUGCAACAGAUAAACUACCUGGUGCAAUAGAUUAGUGAUUUGUUUUAUGAUUUCUAAUGGUUUACUCAUCCGUUGCAAUGGUUGGUUAUAUGUUGCAUAAGAUAACAUACAUGGUGCAACAAAUUAGUGAUCUAUUUUAUGGUUUCCAACAGUUUACUCAUCCGUUGCAACGGUUGGUUAUAUGUUGCAUCAGAUAAAAUUUUUGGUAUAGCAGAUUAGUGAUUUUUUUAUUAUUUCCAAUGGUUUACUCAUCCUUGCAACAGGUUGGUUAUAUCUUGCAAUAGAUAAACUACCUGGUGUAAUACAUUGGUGAUCUGUUUUUACUAUUUCCAAAGGAUUACUCAUCCGUUGCAACAGGUUGGUUAUAUAUUGCAACAAAUAAACUACCUGGUGCAAUAGAUUAGUGAUCUGUUUUUAUGGUUUCCAACGGUUUACUCAUCCUUGCAACAGGUUGGUUAUAUAUUGCAAUAGAUAAACUACCUGGUGCAACAUAUUAGUGAUCUGUUUUUACUAUUUCUAACGGAUUACUUAUCUUUGCAACAGAUUUGUUAUAUGUUGCAACAGAUAAACUACCUGGUGCAACAGAUUAGUGAUCUAUUUUUAUGGUUUGCAAUGGUUUGCUUAUCCGUUACAAUGGAUCGAUUAUAUGUUGCAUCAGAUAAAAUACCUGGUACAACAGAUUAGUGAUUUAUUUUUAUUAUUUCCAAUGGUUUUCUCAUCCGUUGCAACAUGUCGGUUAUAUGUUUCAACAGAUAAUGUACCUGGUGCAACAGAUGUGUGGUCUGUUGGAACUGUUAUUUUAUCGUUGUGCAUGUUAGAUUUACUGUUAUCCCUUUUUAAUGAUGCAUUAAUCAAUUAUAAUUUAUUUUAUAUUCCUGUUAAUUUAAGAUAAUAUGGCUCCCAAAAGAAACUGAAUCAAGUCCAAGUAAAGGAACAAGUGCAACAGGUUGGCUACAUCCACUACUCUAUGAGCUUGCUUUACAAGCAUUAUCUCAAUCAGGAGCAGAAGAUAAUGAACACGGGGAGGAGAAAUAUCUCAAAAGAGAUGAUCCAAAUGCUAAUAAACCUUCCACCGAACCUGUGAAAAUGCAAUGCGAUAGUGCCACAGAUUUAACGGGUGAUUUCAUGGUUAAGUCAUCUAUGGGAAAAUAUUUCGACGCCUUCAAAAAAAUAUUUUGAGAAAAAAAAUUGGAUGGUUAUUUUAGGGAAAGCUGCUUUGGGCAAUAUCUUGAUUUGCCGGAGGACAACACUGCUCGUUUCUAGAUGAAAAUGGUAUACGAUCUUCUUAAGCAUAGGUUUAUGUAUGAAAACAAAGAUAAGAUAGAUGAGGUAUGGAUAAAUUACUGUGACAUGCUUUUUUGUUUUGGUUGGAAGGAGUUUUCCAUAGUUAUCGAACUAAAAUGUUAUCAUCCUUCUCUUUCUCAAGUUAUACCUACUCUGACCCAAAAAAACACCCCGCACACCCAAAAAAGGCAAAGGCAAGUCGAGUGAUCGUGAGGACCUGGUUUCUAUUGUUGGUCCAAGCUUCAAAAAUAAAAGUUUGAUAGAAACGUUGAAAGGUAAAGGACACCCAAAGAAGCACAAAUAAUCAUUGUGCUUGGUUUGGUUUGUACAUAAUAGUCUUUGGGCGAGAGACGUUAACAACAAGAUAAGCCCCGAUUUUAAUAAAUAUCUCCGAGGAUCUUGAGGCAUUUAACAACUAUCCUUAGGGUUAUGAAAGUUUCAAAAUGACUCUCAAAUUUUUGACCCCGUUAACGCCAAAGACAGUUAACUUAUAUGGCUUUCCAUGGGCCUUCAUGGUAAAUAUUUCUUUUAUCAUGAUAUGAUUCAUUAUUUUUUAUUCAAUAAUGCUUUUGAUUUAUUGGCGUUAUGUUAUAGGCUUGGGCAUUUGAAGUCAUUCCUUAUUUGAGACAACAAGUGAACUACCAGGAAGAAGUUUUCUGUCCAAGAAUUCUGAGAUGGUUGUCGUCCAAAACUGAUAAAAAUAUAAGGUUUUUUUAUCUUUUCCACCCUCCAAAGGAAGCAGUAAGUCCAAUUCUAAUCAAGUUUUUCUUUUAAUUAAUGAUUAUUUUAAAUGAUUUCAUCAUCAUCAUCCUAAUAUAUGUACUGAUUUAUUUUAGAUUGUCCAUCUAUGGCUUGUUCCGACCAACUGAGAGUUAAAGAUGCCCUUUUUUCUUACUUUACGGGCUGUGCAAACUUUAUCGAACCCUAAGGUCAUUGAUGGAAUAAAAAUAGAAUUGUUAGGAGUAACAACCAUCAGAAGAAAAAUAAUUUUGGAGGGUGGACUUGUUGCUGUUGAUGAUGAUAGUGGUGCUGCUGUUGGGGCUAAUGAUGCUCCUCUUAUAGUUUUUGAAACAAAAAGCCAUUAUGAUUAUGAUCAUACAGGUUGUACAAAUUUUUCUUCAGAUUUUGCUACAUCUAGCGAAUGUUUUGCAUGCAAAUGUCAAGACUGCAAGGCAAAACACGAUGAGGUGAUUAAUACACUAACUGCUUCUGUAAAGAAAAUAACAUCUAAGAGGGGUGUUAUUCUAUCAAAGAGGAUUUCAUGUCCAUACAUUCCACUAGAGAUCAAGGUGGCUAAGAGGAGAAGGAAAAAUACUUCUAAGGCAUUAUCAAGCAUAAAAAAAAGCAAAAUUGCAAUGCCUCUAUCUUUGUCUUGCACUGUUGUUUAGUGUGCAAGGGUCAUAGGAGAGCUGCAUGAGCCGAAGAAGGUGAAUGUACAUCAUCUGUUCCAACAAAUAAACAGUCACAUAUUUGUUUCAACAACGGAUACAUCUGCUAAAAAUUAUCAAACAAAUAUAUAUAUCUGUUGCAACUGUUGUCUAACCUAUUGCAUCAGAUGCGUUAUCUGUUGCAAAAGAUGAGUCGUAUGUUGCAACAGAUGGGUCAUCUGUUCGAAAUUAUCGUACUACUCUAAUUUACCUAUUCAAAUUCAUCCCAACAGAUGAUCCAUCUGUUGUAAUAUAAGGCUCAUCUAUUGCAAUAGAUGGACAAUCUGUUGUAUAUCUGUAAUUAGCAUUGAUAAUUUUUGGCUUUCCAGGUGGAUGUCACAGUAGAAGCCACUACUAAAAAUCAUAAUAUCACAGUUGAUAAUCCAUCAACUGCUUCCAAAAAAAGAAGAAAAAGUGGAGCCUGUCAGUUCGGGAGAACGACAGAUUACCCAUUUGAAGGGUUUAACAUCUUGGAUGAGGAUCCAAAAAAACUAACACAGUUGAUCAACGACUAUUCAGAAUGGAUUGCCGAUGGGCUAUUAAAGCAUCAUGCCGGUAGGUACAUAAAUCAAUUUAUAAAGAUAUUGGUUUAUAUGAUUCUUGUUGUAAGAACGUGACAUUAAUACAUAUAAAUAAUCAUGUAGAUAACAAAAUGAUGAAUGCUACAAAGUGAACGAAUCGAGUCUUAGUGUUGAUAUGUUCGACUUUGUUGUUGCAUAUCCCGAAAUGAAGAAUUGAUUCUAUUUAAUGUCACAGCCCCAAACUUGCUGGAAUGAUGAAGUUUAAAUGCCAUACAUAUUACUAUUAAUUAAUACUUUAUUUAAUUGCAUCUUCGUAUUGAUUUUUUUGUCACGUAAUUCAAAAUGUUUGAUAAUAUGCACAGCACAUCGAUGCCAUUUUUUACUACCUCUGAAAGAAGGCCAAGUUGCAAACACAAGACUAAUACAGAUACACGACCGACAAUAGUUUGUAUAAAGUUUACAUAAAUAAUGCCUGCGAUAGGUAUUGUCAACAACAACUGAAAGUUUAUUGAAAUGAGGAAUGCUUAAUCAACAUCAUCAAAGGUUUUGGUAUUCCGGCUGAAUUACCUUGACAUUUGAUCGACGAAGUGUACAUCCCAAUAAAUUAUGGUAAUGAAUUCCAUUGGGUGUUGGUUGUCGUCAUUCUAAAAGAGAGGCGCAUCCGAGUUUAUGACUCAAUAUCGCGAAGGAGAUGUUUCGGGCCGUCGUCUGAGACAUGUUGUAUCUCAGACGAUACAAUAUUGUACAUUAAACCCAUUUGAUGUACAAUAUGUUGAAUGAAUUGCUCAACAAACCAUUGGUAGCCUAUAAGUUUAAAUGUCAUGAUUUAGUUUCAUUUCACAAAUUUCACAACGCUUGCAUGAAUGGCAAGCUGUGUAUUAGCUAUUUUUUUAAAACACAGUGAUUGCGGUCUUUUUGUUGCCGCGUACGCCGAGUAUUUGAGCGAUGGAUUACAAGUACCAAAUGAUGGACUUGAUGCCGGAUUACUCCAUAAAAAAUAUGCUGCUUUUAUGGAAAUACGGAGAAGCGAAAGCUCAAAAGCCGUACACAAGCAACAUUAAAGAUCCACGACAACCAAAGUCGAAUUCCGCAGUACCGGAUGAAGAACAACUUGUCCAUAUUGAGUAGAUCCUUAUAGCUUGAGUCCGUCAAUGUAAUAAUCUAUCUUCCUUGGUUUAACUAGUUUAUUUAUUUGUAGAGUACAUCAUUUGUACCCAUAAUAUUUUUUUAUAUUUCAUUUAUUUGUUAAGUUAUUUCAUGUAAUUUUCGAAAGCUUCAACUUAUUUUAUGUUGUCUAUGAAUAUAAUUUAAUCCUUAGUUUUGAACAGGUUAAUUGAAAUGGAAUACUAGAAUCAAAUAUCGCAACAGAUAAUAUAUCUGCAGCAACAGACGACAUAUCUAAUCAAAUAGAUUUAGACAUAUGUUGCAACAUGAGAUGCAAUAUGUAGUCCAUCUACUGGAAAUUAUAUAACAGGUCUUCCUACUUUCUUGAUUUUUUCUAACAGAUUACCUAUCAUUUGUAAUAGAUAGAUUAUAUGUUGCAAUAGAUUGAAUAUCUGUUAUGACAGACAGACUGGGAAACAUCUAUUAAUGCAACAGAUGACCAACCUAUUCCAACAGAUAAUCAAUCACAACAGGUAUUAUAUCUGUUACAACAGAUAUAUUAUCUGUUGCAUUAUAAAAAUUCAACUUGGCCAGUAUAAAAAUUAUUGCCACUACAUGUAAAGUGAAGUGGCUUGAAAUGAAAAAUUAUUAUCGUAUUCGUCUCCGUCUUUAUACAUAUUCUUCUUUAUACACGGGCACAAACCAUUUGGUUAGUACCUCAUAAGCCCAGACCCAUUGUAUCUUUCCCAAAAUGACGUCACAUAUAUCGUUCAUUUCUGUACCGAUCAGCAAACACUCGAUGUAUGCAAGCGAGUACGGCCCGCAUGAUGCACCAGUUUUAAUUUUUGGUUGCUGGAUGUUCUUAUUUCGACCUUCAAAAUCCCAUGAUUCCUUCAUCAAGACUUCAGCCAGCAAAUGAUCCAUCAGCUUACUUUGUGUCAAUAACUUGGGCAAUAACUUCAAGAGUGGCUGCAUGUGGGCUAAAAACGUAUCCUCACUGAAGACAGGUAAGUUGCAGUCAUACACCUUAAUCUUUCCCUCGUGGAGUAGUAUCUCAACAACUAGAAAAUGUUUGACUUCCACGUUCAUGACUGCAAGGAUUCUCUUUGCCUUGGUCCAGCUCUUGCCAUGUGGAUAUGUCCUCUUCCCUCUAACAUAUUUAAUCGCUUCUUCAUCCCAUUGGAAUGUAGAAACUAACCUAUCAAAUCCCAAGCCACCGGAAUUAGCUAGCUUACAGAGAUCAGCGUUCCUAUUCUUCAAAUUGUUGUAGAAGUUGAGGUUCAUUAUCCUAUCGGUAGCAUCAUAAGCAUUCGGGUACACUAAUUGCCUACCCCUCAUGAGGCAGAGAUUUUCAUCAAAAUACUUUGCUAUAAGAAGAUAAUUUUUAAAUAAGUUAGUAAUUGUAUCGAAUAAAAAUACAGUGGAAAGAAUUCAAUGCAGAGGGUUCUCUGAAUCAAUUCACAGAUUACCCAGCCAACACAACUUAUGCAACAGAUGUGUAUUAUGUUGCAAAAGAAUACCAAGAUGUUGCAACAUAUUACACAUCUGCUGCGUAGAUUCUUGUUCAUGGAGUAGAUUGGAAGGCUAGGUUAGCAAAAGUAAACUUACAUUGUCCUCAUACCACUCACACAUAUUUGUCAUAUUCGUGAAGUCUUUGGCGGCAAAUGAAUGCAUAGUGUAUUCUUUUCGAACCUUCAUCCUUCCAUUCAUUAUUUCUUGCAGUUCCUUAUUCUUCUCUUUGCCAAGUGCUGCGAAUAUGUCCACCUUCUUCAGCGGACCCUAAACUUCAACAACUCUUGGAGUGGGAGGAGUUGCAAUUUUUGCUAUUUUCAGAACGGAGAGAAUUUGUCUAAUUUUUCUUAUCUUCCUUCUAACCGCCACUGUAGGAGCGCAUAGCUUCCUCACCUCGUUGGAUGGUAUGACACCCCUUCUGGAUUUCAACUCCUCGGCAGCUUCAGCAAUAGCCUCUAGCUUUUCAAGGAGUUUAUCCUCUCUGUCCUUGCACACUUUGCAUUUGCAAUGAGAACAUGAGGGUGAAGAGGGUGAGAGAGACCACUGUAAGGGUGGGAGAGACCGGUGUAAGGGUGAGAGGGGCCUGUGAAAGAGGUAUUUUCAAAAGUAUUUAUUUUUUGCUGAGCACCAACAUGCUCAUAAUCACGACUAGCAGCAGCAACAACAUCAGGAUGGCUUCCACCAUCAUAAACAACUCCACCAGCAGCACCCCCUGAAGAAGCACCCGGAUCUAUUGCAGUUUAAGGUUGGUCGUGAAGAGCUUCAACAUUAGGCUGACCUUGCUUAACUUCUCUUCUUAUGGAUGUUGCUCCCAACCAAUUUCUUCCUUAUUAAAUCCACCGUUGGAUCUUCUUUUGUAUCAACAAGACCCAGAGUAAGAAAAGAAGUCAUUCGCAGCUUAUCAACGGUAGGCACGAUCUAAGGAUGCAUAACUUAUAAAAAAGACAGGAGACAUUUAAAUCAUAUAAUGAUAAUUUGCAAACAGUUGGGUUAAAUGGAUGUUAACAUAACCAACUUAUGCAACAGACAAUCUAGCUGCCGCAAUAGCUAAUCUGUAUGUCACAACAGAUUGACAAUAUAUUGCAUCAAAUUACAUAUUUAUUGCAUAAUUUGCAUCAGAUGGGUAAUCUGUUGAGUCGGGUUUAGAAAACCAGAGCAAAAAAUGGUUAAUCUGUUGCAAAAUAUGGAUCGUUUGUCAUAACAAAUUACCCAUCUAUUGCACCAGUUGUAGUUGAUGGGUAAUCCGUUGCAACAGACGACCCAUCUGUCGCAGCAUAUGGUAUAUUUAUUUUAAUAUCUUUCUUUGAGGUAAAUUAUUUUAGUUGAAAGAAGACGUACUGCAUCAUCUGGAGGGUUAAAAAGAUCAGCCUCCUUAAUAUAUUUUUUCCUGUUCUUUGUUGCAGCCAACCACCUAAGGAUCCUUGGAUAAGAAACCUUAUCCGGGUAAUCCUUGAACUGCUUUUGGAGGGAAGGAAUGGCUUCACAUGCCCCAGCCUAAAAAAUGUAAACAGAAAGCAAGCAAAAAAAAGUCAUAAUAACUAUAUUCAAUAUAAAUUAAUGGAUGAGUAAAAAUAGUGAUCAAUUUUAUCAUGAAAGCCCAGGAAAAGCCGUAUAAUGUGAUCAUCUUUGGGGAUAGUUUUGUCAGUAAAUAUUCGACAGUCAAGUAGUAGCUGUCAUAUCCCCAGGAAUAGUCGUUGAAUUUCCCAAUAUCAUCAGCAAGUGACAACAAAUCAUGUUUUAUGACUUUUCUGACGUCUCUUGCCAAUAAAACGAAAUGGACAAACCAAACUAAGUACAAUUUCUCCCUAUAGUGCUUUGGUAUAUUUUUAUUCUCGAGAUCUACCAUCAAAUCCUUCCCUUCGUAGCUAGGUCCAACAAUGUCGAACAACCUAUACCUUUUUACCUUGCAUUUAUUGGACCCUUUGUGGGGUGUUUCCUUGAUAAGAGGUUCUUCUGGACGGUCGGAUCUCAAGUCCGUCACUAUGACAAACUCUUUCAAUCCAAAAUAAACCGAUAUGCCAUAGUAGUUGAUCCAGACUUCAUCCAUUUUUUUCUGCCCUCCUUUGAAUCUUUAUCAUCCCUCACAUACUUGAUCCUGCGAUUGAGAAGGCCAUAUACCAUGCUUAUUGGGAAACAUAAAGUGUGGUCCUCAAACAGCUCGAGAAAGUAUGCAAAACAACUUUUAUUAAAAAGUCCAUCUAUGUUUUCAUUCUUUAUAAUACUCCUAAGUUUGUCAAAAGGUUUCCCCAACUGAUAUUUAAGUAUAAGAUCACCAAAUAUUGCGUUAGGGCUAUUCAACGGCAUUGCAACUCGAAACUUAUCAAUACUAAUGAUUUUGACAAAAUCAUGCUGGGAUUUCGAUAUUAUUUCACGCCCCAUUGGUGAAAGGAGUUAUCACUUUCUUCAGAUUUAUUUUGCCCUAACUGAGAUUGUUUUGGAAGUUCCUCCAAAUCUAUCUAUACUCUAGACUUUUUUGUUUGGUGAUCAGAAGUUGAUCCACUUUCAGUUUUUUUUUGGGAGACAUCUUUUAACUACAGACAAUAAAAAAACAAAAAAUACAUUGCAUUUGAUAUCUGCAUAAUUUUUUAAAAAAAGGUAAGACAAAUUUUAAUAAACUAUUCUACGCCACAUUACAAAAAAAUACUCCAACGGAUAACCCAUCAGUUGAAACAGAUGGAAAAUCUAUUUGAAGACCUAUUUAAUAUCUUCCAAUAGAUCUUCCACCCGUUACAACAGAUGGACCACCACCACCACAACCAAUGCCACCAAGACCACCACCAAUGCCACCAAUACCAACACCAAGACCACCGAUACCACCACUACCAACCACCAAUAAUACUACAAACACCAUCCAACAAUACUAAACAGUCAACAAAACACUGAGACAAAAACUAGGGUUUUUUCGAGUGCUUCAUACUUUUUAGCAUCAAAACACAAAAUUGCUAACCCAUUCUCGAAGAUAAUACAACUAAAAGUCUUCUUUUUCAUCAUUAACUAAAAAUUCCUAAUUUUUAAAAUUAAGAACAAAUGUAGAACUCUUCUCGAACUCUGUUGCCUGUGAAGAUAGAGAAAACAAUGAAUACAAACGAGAAUGAAGUCGAAAAUAACAACUAUAUGAUAAAAAAUUAGAAGAAAAUCGAUCUAUUUUGAAGGGUUGAGCAAUAUGUUGAAUAGUUGUUGUCUGUAUUAUUGAGAGAGAGAGAAGCAAUAACUUGAGAUUUGAAAUGAGGAAAAGUUUUUCCCCCAAAUGGAUGAUUUGUAUGGGUUGAUUUGUAAUUUUGGAAAAGAAUGAGAAGUUUUGAAAUUGUUAAUGUGAUCCGAAUUGAUCUUAAUUAAUUUUAAAAAUUUCAAAAUAUAUAGUUUUUAAAAUAUUAAGUUAAUGAAAAUUCAUUUCAACUCUGAGCGAUUGAUCGACUUGAGUUGGAAUGAAUGCAAUACCAACACCAUGCAAAUGGAACGACUCAAUUAAAAUUGUUGUUGACCCUGUGAGCUUAUUCAUUCAUCCCUAAUUCCACCUAAAUCAAUUUAGGUACUAUUAAUCUUAUCAUUAAGUUAAUGAGAACUCAUUUCAACUUCGAGUGAUCGAUCGACGAUUCGGGUUGGGAUGAACUCAAUACCAAUACCAUGCAAAUACAAUGACUCAAUUGAAAUUGUUGUUGACCUUGUGAUCUUAUUCAUUCAUCCCUAGUUCCACCUAAAUCAAUUUAGGUACCAUUAAUCUUAACAUUACGUUAAUGAGAACUAAUUUCAACUCCAAGUGAUUGAUCGAUGACUCGGGUCGGGAUAAACACAAUUCCAAUACCAUGCAAAUGCAACGACUCAAUUGAAAUUGUUGUUGAUCUUGUGAGCUCAUUCAUUCAUCCCUAGUUCCACCUAAAUAAAUUUAGGUACUAUUAAUCUUAACAUUAAGUUAAUGAGAACUUAUUUCAACUCUGAGUGAUCGAUCGACGACUUGGGUCAGGAUGAACGCAAUAAAAACACCAUGCAAAUACAAUGACUCAAUUGAAGUUAUUGUUGAUCCUGUGAUUCAUUCAUCCCUAGUUCCACAUAAAUAAAUUUAGGUACUAUUAAUCUUAACAUUAAGUUAAUGAAAACUCAUUUCAACUCUGAGUGAUCGAUUGACGACUCGGGUCGGGAUGAACGCAAUACCAAUACCAUACAAAUACAAUGACUCAAUUGAACUUGUUAUUGACUCUGUGAACUCAUUCAUUCAUCCCUAGUUCCACAUAAAUAAAUUUAGGUACUAUUAAUCUUAAAAUUAAGUUAAUGAGAACUCAGUUCAACUCCGAGUGAUGAUCGACGACUCAGGUCAGGAUGAACGCAAUACCAACACCAUGCAAAUACAACGAUUCAAUUGAAGUUGUUGUUAACCCUGUGAGAUUAUUCAUUCAUCCCUAGUUACACCUAAAUCAAUUUAAGUACUAUUAAUAUUAACAUUAAGUUAAUGAAAACUCAUUUCAACUCCAAGUGAUCGAUCGACGACUCGGGGCGAGAUGAACGCAUUACCAACACCAUACAAAUACAACGAAUUAAUUAAAGUUGUUGUUGACCCUGUGAGCUCAUUCAUUCAUCCCUAGUUCUACCUUAAUUAAUUUAGGUACUAUUAAUCUUAACAUUAAGUUAAUGAUAACUCAUUUCAACUUCGAGUGAUCGAUCGACGACUCGGGUUGGGAUGAACACAAUACCAACACCAUACAAAUACAACGACUCAAUUGAAGUUGUUGUUGAUCCUGUGAGCUCAUUCAUUUAUCCAUAGUUCUACCUAAAUAAAUUUAGGUACUAUUAAUCUUAACAUUGAGUUAGUGAGAACUUAGUUCAACUCCGAGUGAUCAAUCGAUGACUUGGGUCGGGAUAAACGCAAUACCAACACUAUGAAAAUACAACGACUUAAUUGAAGUUGUUGUUAACCCUGUGAGCUUAUUCAUUCAUCCCUAGUUCCACCUAAAUCAAUUUAGGUACUAUUAAUCUUAAAAUUAAGUUAAUGAGAACUCAUUUCAACUCCAAGUGAUCGAUCGACGACUCGGGUCGAGAUGAACGCAUUACCAACACCAUACAAAUUCAACGACUCAAUUAAAGUUGUUGUUGACCCUGUGAGCUCAUUCAUUCAUCCCUAGUUCUACCUUAAUCAAUUUAGGUACUAUUAAUCUUAACAUUAAGUUAAUGAUAACUCAUUUCAACUUCGAGUGAUCGAUCGACGACUCGAGUCGGGAUGAAUGCAAUACCAAUACCAUGCAAAUACAAUAACUCAAUUGAAGUUGUUGUUGACCCUGUGAGCUCAUUCAUUCAUCCCUAGUUCCACCUAAAUCCAUUUAGGUACUAUUAAUAUUAACAUUAAGUUAAUGGGAACUCAUUUCAACUCAGAGUGAUCGAUCGGAGACUCCAACUCAGAGUGAUCAAUCGGCGACUCGGGUCGGGAUGAAUGCAAUACCAAUUCAUCCCUAGUUCCACCUAAAUCAAUUGCAAUGAAAACUGUUGUAACAAAUGACUGAGCUAUUGGAUAUUUUCAAACCGAUAAUCAUAUCUGUUGCUACAGAUGACAUAUCUGAUUUAAUUAUCAAAUAGACAUUUGCAUCUAUUAUGAUAGAUGACUGAGCUGUUGGAAAUUUUCAAACAGAUAGUGAUAUCUGUUGUAACAAAUAACAUAUCUGAUUUAGUUAUCAAAUAAAAUUUUGCAUCUGUUGUCACAGAUGACUGAGCUGUUGGAAUUUUUCAGACAGAUAUUUAUAUCUGUUGCAACAAAUGACAUAUCUAUUUGAAUUUUUUUCUUUUAAUUUUAAAGCAAGCUUCUGUUCGAGUAGAUAAAUUAGUAGUAUUAAAGGCGGUAAAAAAAAUAUUUCUUGGAUAACUCAAAAAUCUCAUUGAGUAGUCUUGUUUUGUCUUUUUAAUGUCACCCAUUUUCUUCCCCGUACCCCUCAAAUUAUUAAUGAAUAUUAAUCAUGAAUAUUGAAACCCCUAAUACUUCUUCCAUUUAAUAUUAGUUGGCCCCUAUUGACUUGGCACACCCAUUAAGAAAAUAUUAAUUAGGGGUUUGUUUUACCAAAUUAGCCUUAUUAAUUAUGUUUUGAAAAUAUAAAUUUGAAUAAAUAAACUUUGUUUGUCAUUAAUAUUAAGGGUAGUACAUCUAGAAAUUAAAAUUGUCUCAUCUCUCCUUCAGCCCUAAAUUUAUUUUAUUUAUCUCUCAUUUUUUUCUUUCUCUCCUCUUUAGGGUUAUCACAACCUUUUUUCUCUCCUCUUUCUUAUAAAUAUCCUUUCGGAUCUAAACCGAUCCAUAUCUUAGAUUCCUCGACUGAAAUUGCUGUUUUGAUUUCUUUUUGACAUUAAGGUAUGGUUCACUAUUACUCUUUUAUUCUCGUUUUCUUCUUUGCAAGUUAUUUACAUCUAUUUUUUUUAUUUAGUUACCAUUUAUUCAUAUCAUAUUUAUUUAGAAAAUUUGAAAGAACUUUUUAUUGUUGAAUAAACAAACCGAGAAUUUUUAUUACAAUAUGCGAAAAAGCCAUAUGUUGGGAGAAGUUUAAAAGCCUUGUUGGCAGUAUCAUUUUUUUGUAUGUAUUUUAUUUGUUUCGUUGUUGUUGAUGCUGUUAUUGAUGUUGUUGGUGGGGUUAGCGUUGUUGGAAUUUAUGGUGUGGUGUCGUUGAUGGUGUUAGAACAUAGAAUGUUGGUUCUUUGUUAUUGAUGAUGUUGUUGGAACAAAUAUUAUUGUUUUCUUUGUUGUUGAUUUUUUUAUUUGUUGUUUCUUUGUAGUUUAUGUUGUUGUUGAUGUUGCAACAGACAGAGCAACUGUUGGAACAAAUCAACUCACCAGUAAGGCUGGUUUGAUGUAUUCCAAUAGACUCCACAUCUAUUGCAACAGACUCUACAUCUGUUGCAAUAGACUUCAUAUCUAUGGCAUCAGACUCCACAUCAGAUGUAAUAGACUCCUCAUCAGAUGCAACAGACUUUACAUCUAUUGUAAUAGAUGGAUAAUGUUCUUUCUGUGACAUUAAUUUUUUCCUGUUCUUUGUAGAUAUAAGAAAUUGAAAGUUGAUCAACUUUUGUUUGACGAUCAUAAGAGGCUAUAGUAAAGACGGGUUUGGAGGAAUAAGCUCUAUGCAGAUGGAACCACAUCAUAUGUGGGAGGUAUGUAUUACUAAUAAUGUUAUCGCACAUAGAAUAUACUAAUUUUGUGAAUGCCGUUUUUACCGAUUAGUCAUAGAUCAUUCAAACAAAAUAUCUGUAAUUUUAUAGUUAAGUUUGGUAGGUUUGAACUGAUAAGGUUGAGGGACCAUGAAUAUGGUUCUGAUACCCUAUUAAGAUUUAAUGUCGGUUGUUGCUCCUGUUUAUUUGUCAAGCAUUGUGAAACGAUCUAGUUUUGGUGUCAUUGUAAAGAGAUUCAAUAUCGAUUGGACUAACUUUUAGGGUGUAUUGGACUCUGAGAAGGCCUUUGAAGCUUAGCACUGCAUCUAACAAGAACAAAAAACUAGUCUAGUUAUUGACCAAGCCUAAAUUUAUAUGGUUGGGUUGCUUGGGGUGAUGAUUAUACGCUAGAAGUUGCGGUAGAAGAAUGCCUUCGAGGGAAAAUGAGUGGUCGAUGAAAGACUAUAUCACCUGAGAGCUAAUUGAAGAGGAUACAUAGGGUAGAAAGUAACUUCUAGCGAAUCUGACCAAUGAAAUUAUCUUAAAACAUGAGAAAUCUGUAUCAAGUGCAAAUAUAAAAGUGUAUCCGGUAAUAAAAAAUCCGUCUGUUAUUUAUCUAAAAGAAAAAUAGUGCAUACGAUCACUUUACUAGGAAGCUACGGCUAGGUAGCGUGGCCGGGAUUAUCACCUAGAUAGAAAAUAACAGAAGACCAAGAAAGCAGCCUUAAGGGAAUCGAGGGUUGAAAUGAUGUACAAUAAGUCUUGAAAACUUACGCCAACAGCAACUGCAGUUAAAGUAAGGAAUCUAAGCGAAGGUGGUAAUUUUUGAAUUUUAAAUUGCAUCUCAUGCCUUCUUGUUUGUGGUUUCGAUCAGGUCCACUGCUGUUGACCUAAUCAGAACCACAAACGUGAUUGAAAGGAAGAUUGAGUGUCACUACUUCCUUAGCAAUAUGGUUAUAAUUGAUUGUGUUUUCUAUCCUUAGCAUGCUUUCAACAUUCCUUGGAGAAGAUUAGAGGCUUGAUGUAGUAUGCGAAUCCUGAUAUAUUUCAAGCUUGCCUCCAGCUUGCUGAUUCUGUAUUCAAGUUUAUUGUUGCCAUCUUUGAAGUUGGUCAAGAGUUCCUGAUCUCUUGUGAGAUAGAUCAGGAACACCACCUUUAAAGUUGUGGCAUUUUAGAAGGCCUUCAGAACACUUUCUUCAGAAUCCUUAAAAGUACAUGGAGGGUCAUUGUGUAUAUUUUUAGGUCAAAAUGUGUUGAUGCACAGUGAAGAUGUGGUCCCAACAGUUGAAUAGCUCACUUUUAUUGAGUGUUGCUCAACCAUCCUUUAAGGAAUUUGUUAAAUUAAUAAUCAAGGAGUUAGUAAUGUUUGAUCUAAACUGACUCUACCAAGCCUAUCAAACGUUAUGUAAUUUGAGGCUCAAUACCCUAUCAAAAAACUUUGCCCUAGUUGGUGGACAAAUCAAACGAGAUCAUCUCUCAGCCUUUCUGUUGAUCGCUCUUCUCCAAUUAUUGAUGAUAAGAUAUCCACCAUCCAAAAAUCUACACCGUCAGCAGAAAUACUUGUCAUAACAAAAGUCUUCAGAAGGGAUGACUAGUAAUCUCUCAAAACCAAAUGAUAUUGAGAGACUAUUAGUCAUUCCUUCUAAAGACUUUCAUUCUGGCAAGAAUCUUUGUUGAUGAUAAGAUAUCCACCAUGCAAAAGUCUACAUCAUCAACAGAAAUGCUUUGCCACACCGAAAAUCUUCAGAAGGCAUGACUAGUAAUCUCUCAAGACAAAAAAAAUUGUAACUCCUCUGUCUUGCACUAUUGAGAAAUGUAAAAAUGUCAUAGAAGAACAACAUGAGCUGAAAAAAGUGAAAACAUAAAUAGGGGAGGAAUAAGGUGCGUACAGAGUUUGUUUAGGACAAACUGCAUUCAGUUGGUCCUUUCUAUUUACGUUCUCACUUUUUUCAGCUCAUGUUGUUCUUCUGUGGACUUUGUACAUUGCUCAAUAGUGCAAGACAGAGGAGUUGCAAUAUUUUUGUGUUGAGAGAUUACUAGUCAUGCCUUCUGAAGACUUUCGGUGUGGCAAAGCAUUUUUGUUGAUGAUGUAGACUUUUGCAUAGCGAAUAUCUUGUCAUUAACAAAGAUUCUUGCCAGAGCGAAAGUCUUUAGAAGGCAUGACUAAUAGUCUCUCAAUAUCACUUGGUUUUGAGAGAUUACUAGUUAUCCCUUCUGAAGACUUUUGUUGUGACAAGUAUUUCUGCUGACAGUGUAGACUUUUGGAUGGCGGAUAUCUUGUCAUCAAUAAUUGGAGAAGAGCGACCAACAUAAAGGCUGAGAGAUUGAUCUCGUUUGAUUUGUCCACCAACUCGAGCAAAGUUUUUUGAUAGGGUAUUAAGCCUCGAGUUACGUAACAUUUGAUAGGCUUGGUAGAGUUAGUUUAGAUCAAACGUUACUAACUCCUUGCUUACUAAUUUAACAAAUACCUUGAAGGGUGGUUGAGUAACACUCGAUAAAAGUGAGCUAUUUAACUGUUGGGACCACAUCUUCACUGUGCAUCAACAUAUUUUGACCAAAAAACAUCCACAAUAACCCUCCAUGUAUCCUUUAAUGCUUUUGAAGAAAGUGUUCUGAAGGACUUCUAAAAUGCCACAACUUUGAAGGUGGUGUUCCUGAUCGAGCUCACAAGAGAUCAGGAACUCUUGACCAACUUUGAAAAUAACAAUGACAAGCUUGAAUACAGAAUUAACAAGCUAAAGUCAAGCUUAAAAAUUAUCGAGAUUUACAUACUACAACAAGCCUUUGAUUUUCUCCAAGGAAUAUUGAAAGCAUGCUAAGGCUAGAAAACACAAUCAAUUAUAACAAUAUUGCUAAGAAAGUAGUGACACUCAAUAUGUCUUUCAAUAACGUUUGUGGUUUCGAUCAGGUCAACAACAUUGGACCUGAUCAGAACCAUAAAUAAGAAGGCAUGAGAUGCAAUUUAUAAUUCAGAAAUUGUCGCCUUCGCUUAGAUUCCUUACUUUAACUGUAGUUUCUGUUGGCGUAAGUUUUCUAGACAUACUGUACAUCAUUUCAACCCUUGAUGCCCUUAAGGCUUCUUUCUUGGUCUUCUGUUAUUUUUUAUCUUGGUGAUAAUCCCGACCACGCUACCUAGUCGGAACUUCCUAGCAAAGUAUUCAUCUGCAUUAUUUAACUUUCAGAGAGACAACAAACGAAUUUACAUUAUCUGAUACACUUUCAUAUUUGCACUUGAUUCGAAUUUCUCAUGUUUUAAGAUAAUUCUAUCAGCCAGAUUUGCUAGAAGUUACUUUCUACCCUAUGUCUCUUCUUCAAUUAGCUCUCAGAUGAUAUAGUCUUUCAUUAACUUACCUUUCCCUCGCAAGUAUUCUCCUUCGGCUUCUUCUGGCGUAUAAUUAUCUUCUCAAUCAACACUUCCAUAUAAAUUUGGGCCAGGGGAAUUUCUAUUGAUUUUCGGUUCUUGUUUGAUGCAGUGCAAGGCUUCGAAGGUGUUCUCAGAGUCCAAUGCACACUUAAAGUUAAGUCCAAUCGCUAUUGGUUCUCUGCAAUGACACCAAAUAUUGAUCCCUUCUCAAAAUUUGACACGCAUAAACACGAGCAACAACCGUCAGUAAUUCAUAAUAGGGUAUCUGCACCAUCUUCAUGAGGCCCUCAUCCUUAUCAAUUCGAACCCAUCAAACUUAGCUGUACAGUGCAGGAUCUUGUUUGAAUGAUCAGUGCCUAAUCGGUUAAAAACUGCAUUCACAAAAAUAUUGUACUUUGUGUGUCUUAUCCCGGUGACCUUAUCAGUAAUACUUCUUAACUCACACAUAUAUGAUAGUGGAUCCAUCUACAUGCAUCUUAUUCUUUCUAGCCCAUUUAUGGCUUAAAUUAAAUAAACAGAUGACUAGCAAGUUGCAACAAAUGCCACAUCUAUUGGAAAAGAAAAUUUAUAUAUCCAUCUGUUGCAACAGAUUAUCAAUAUGUUGUAAGUUAUCUGAUAGAUGGAAUAUAUUUUGUAACAGGUUACCCAUCUGUUAGAUUUAUUUUAAAGCAAGUUUCUUUUCUUUCUGAAAUACAAUAAAAAAAUAAAAUAUUGUAUUUAGAUCUAUUGUUUAAUUUACAUAAUCUUUUUUUAAUUUACAUAUUCAAAAAUUCACCAAUUUUAUUUAAUUAAGGGGUAUGAACAGUCGUGAUUUUUUGUUUGACUUAGUCACCCCUUCCAAUUCAAUCAUUUUAUAAAUAGGUCUCUCCGACCUCCUCUCACUCGUUCAUUCUACUACACUUACAACACAAAUAUGGCUGAUCCAGAUUCGUAUAAGAAGAUUUAUAUCGAGUCCUUACAGGAACUUCAAAGGCAGUUUGAUGAACUCUAGAGGGAUUUGACUGACUUUAGAGAAAGGCUGAGGAGGGCCCUGCUAUUGCCGGAUGAAAAUUGUCCGGUUGACAAUACUAAUACUACUACUACUAAUAAUAAUAGUAAUGAUAAUAAUAAUAGUAGUAAUAAUAAUUAAGUUAUGUUUUGUUUUCUCUUAGCGUAUGUAUGUAUUUUCCUUCUUUUGUAUAUCGGAUGUACCCAAGGGAUUCAAAAAUCUAUAUUUGGUGGUUGACUUUGAAUUUUUAAUUUUUAUUUAGUAUUUAAUUAUCAUUCUUGCUUAUUUCUUAUUCUCAACAUGUCGACAGAGGUUAAUCUGAUGCGACAGAUUGAUCAUAUGUUGCAACAUGUGGUUAUUAAUAAAAAGGGUUAUUGUUAUUGAGAGGGUGAAAAGACUUGACUUUUCGAUUAUUUAAUAUGAAAAAUAAUUCGUAAAUAAAUAAUAAACACAAUUUAUAACCGUAACAGAACGGUUAUUUAAUUUUAAUAACUGAUCGUGACUCUUCGACAUAUUUAUUUUUAAAUCAAUUUUUUAAUUUAUAUAAUAAAAGUCACCAAAUUUUGAUUAAAGAUAUGUUGAUUAUUAAAAAAGAUAGGAAGCAGAUAUAUUAUAUGAUGCAACAGUUUGUAGAUUUGUUGCAACAAAUGGUAUAUCUGUUACAAUUCAAAAAAAUGGUUAAUGAAAAGAACUUAUCAAGUCACAACUUUCCACAGUAAUAAAAAAGUCACUAGUAUUAAUAAAUGGAGGUGAAUAUUCCCUCCUUUUUUAUUUUUGAAUUUAUUUUUUUAAUUUAUAUAAUAAUAAAAAAGUCACUAAAUUUGGAUUAAAGAUAAAGAUAUGAUGAUUAUUAAAAAGAUAUAUGUUGCAACAGAUCAUAGAUUUGUUGCAACAAAUGGUAUAUCUGUUGUCACAGAUGGAUUAUCUGAUGCAACAGAUAAAAAUGAUCGCUGAAAAGAACUUAUCAAGUCAAAACUUUCCACAGUAAUAAAAAAAUCACCAGUAUUAAUAAAUGGAGGUGAACAAUCGCGCCUUUUUAUUUUUGAAUCUAUUUUUUAAUUUAUUUGAUAAAAAAGUCACCAAAUUUGAAUUAAGGAUAAAGAUAUGCUGAUUAUUAAAAAGAUAUGUGUUGCAAUAGAUAUAUCUGUUGGAUUAUCUAUUGCAACAGAUCACAGAUUUGUUGCAAUAAAUUUUAUAUCUGUUGUCACAGAUGGGUUAUUUGAUGCAACAGAUAUAUAAUCUGUUGUCACAACUCAAAACAACGAUUACUGAAAAGAAUUUUAUCAAGUCACAACUUUCCACAGUAAUAAAAAAGUCACCAGUAUUAAUAAAUAGAGGUGAACAGUCACGCCUUUUUACCUAGCUCAUUCAAAUUCAAUCCUCUAUAAAUAUGUCCUUCCUUACUCGUUCAUUCUACUACACAUAUCUAUUUAUUUCUAGCUCUUGUCUUUCAUAUUACACCUUCAACUACUUUCUCUUCAAGAACUUGAUUGCUUUUCCCUAUCUUUGGUAAUUUUUUUUCUUGCUUUUUGUGUAAAUAUACGUUAUAUUACUUUUGAUUCUUUUCUUUACUUUUGUUUUUGUGUUUUUUGUCAAUUUAUGCGUGUUUUAGAUAUGGACAAUCCAAUGUGGGAUGUCGCUAUUUUAUGAGACGACGUACGGGAACUGCAGAGGCAGGUACAUGAUAUACAGUGGGAGUUGGUCAUUGUCAGAGUAAGAAUUUUGCAGGAGAUCCACAGGAUAAGAAGGGCACUGCUGCUUCCUGUCGAAGAUGCGGCUGGCGAUAAUAAUAAUAAUGAUGAAAUCUAUUAAUAAUAAUUAGAUUAUUUUGUUUCUUCUUUCUUUCUAAGUCUGUAUAUGUAUUUUUUAUUUGUUUUAGUUUAAUAAAAAAAUUAUGUUUGAUCAACUUUGACAUUUUAAUUCAUACUCCCUCCGUUUCAAAAAGAAUGACCUACUUUCCUUUUUAGUCCGUUUAAAAAAGGAUGACCCCUUUCCCUUUUUUAGCAACUUUUAAAUUUUAACUUUCCACGUGACAUGUUUAAGACCACAGGAUUGAAGGGAAUUUUGGUAUAUUUCACAUAUGUUUAAUUUAAGACCACAAGAUUCAAAAGUCAUCUUAUUUUCUUAAACUUCGUGUCAAGUCAAACUAUGUCAUUCUUUUUGAAACGGAGGGAGUAUUUAAUUUUCAUUCUGUCUAUUAUCUUCUCAACAAACAUGUCGACGAUUGGACGUAAGGAGUAAUUUUGAAUCCAGUAGCAAUAACAGGAUUUAAGAUUUAUCUGUUGGAUUUGUGGCAGGAGCUGAUUUAUGUUGUUUUAAACAGAUUACUCAUAUGUUGCAACAGAUAACUAGUCUAUUUCAACAGAUAACUCCCUCCGUCUCAAAUUACCCUACCCAUCCUAAAUUUAGAUGGUACAUUGAUUAAGAAAAAUAAUUAAUAACAUGCCUAGUUUACCAUAAUAACCCUAUUAAAUGAUGUUUACAUUUUAAUUUGAUGAAAAAGUGAUUUAUGCAAAGGGUAAAACAUGGAAUUUUUUUUUAUCUUUUCUUGAUUAAUAAAAAAAGACAAGUAAAAUGAGAAAUCAAAAUAGGAAAUUUGGGAAGGGUAAUUUGAGACGGAGGGAGUAUUUAAUUUUUAUUCUGUCUAUUAUAUUCUCAACAAACAUGUCGACGAUUGAACGUAAGAAAUAAUUUUGAAUCUAGUAGCAAUAGCAAAACAUAUUGGUUAUCUGUUGGGUUUGUGGCAGGGGCUGAUUUGUGUUGUUCCAAACAGAUUAAUCAGUCUGAUACAACAGAUAAUUAGUCUGAUGCAAUAGAUAACUAGUCUGUUGCAACAAAUAUAUAUUUUGUUGCAACAGAUUACUCAUCUGAUGCACCAGAUGAGUGAUAUGUUUAAAUUGUGGGCACUUAUGUUGGAUUCAAGAUUGGUUUCUAUCCAUUGUGUAAAAAACAGUAGUAACUUUGUAACUCAGAUGACAAAUUCGACUACAAAUCAUAAUUUGACUUACCAAGGUCUCCUAUGAAGUAAUGUCAAAGUGAAAAAUGGUGAUGUUAGAAACAAAAUUUGACCUAAGAAAUUGGUAAAAUAGCAACAGUAACGGUAACAACAACAACAAUGGUUGACAAAAAGAAGAUGAAGAUGAUAAUGAAGUAGAAGAUGAUGAUAAUGAAGUAGAAGAUGAUGAAAAAGCAACAGCAGCAACAAUAAACAACAAUAAUCGUGAAGAGAGAGAAAACAAUAACGGAUGAGAAGAGAGGGAAACACACCUUUUUUUCCUUCAUUUUCUGUUAUAUUAACUAACAUUUGGAUCAAAGUGUAAAUUUAAAAACUUGUGGGUUAUUUUCAAACUUUUCCAACUUUCUUAAUCCAUAAUAAAGUAAUUGUCACCUCCACCUAAUAAUUAAGACUUGUGUCACCUACACCUCAUUUUAAAACUCUUUUGUCGCCUACAGCCCAAAAGCCCCAACUUAGAAGUGAUAUAGCAAAAUUACUAUAAAAGAUACUUGUGAAAAAAGUUUAAGUGGACCUCAUAUAAGAUGUCAAAUUAAUUUAAAACAUCAAGAGUUAAUUUAAUAUUUUAUGUCUAUUUUACCUUUUUUAUUAAAUAUUAUUAACCUUUUAAUACUUAAACUUAUAAUAAUUAAUUAAGAGUGAUGUAGUAAAAUUACGGUUGAAGUAGUUAAAGCAGAUAUGUAAUAAAUGACUAUUUUAUUUUUCUUUAUUAAACAUGAUUAAUUUUCUAAUACGUAACAGUCAACCAAAUAUCACGAUUGAAGUAGCGAAACAAACAUGUCUUAAAUGACUCAUCUAUCUAUAUCUAAUAAGAAAGGCAAAAAUGUCAUGUGUCAUCACCACAAAAAACCAGCAAUGUUUUUUAAAAAAUUAAUUAAAAAUUUAUUUUUUAAAACACUUAACUUCCCUAUUACAAUACAAAUUCAAUUUUAAAAAGAUAAAAAAUACCGUACACUUGCAAAUAACUUUUGUUAAUAAAAUUUCACUUAUUAUUUUAUCUUGAUAAAUAAUAUUUUCUUAAUAAAAAACCUGAAUUAUCUGGAGAAAAAUUAUACUACUAAUAAUUACUUAAAAAGCUAUGACAUCCACAUAGAAAUAUACCAUUUAAACGCUACACACAACUUAAAUAACAAAAGAUGCAAAAAAAUAAUUUUCAUUACAAAAUUUAAAAAAAAUUACAAUAGAAAUUUAAAAAAUAAUAACUGUCAAUAAUUACAAUACAAAUUUAAACAACAACAAAUGCCAAAGAGGAAACAAGAUAUACACACGAUAUAAAUUGAUUUGUUUAAUUUAAUUAUUAAAAUUUAAAAACUAAAAAGUAAAAAUUAAAUAAAUAUUGAUUGAUCAGUUUAGUUUUAAAGAGGAACGUGUAUAUACUUUGAACUAGGGAUAGUUUGAAGGAGUUGGUUUUAAAACUACCCACUACACUCCUUUUUUGAUAAAUUAUUUUUCAUUACGACUCUAAUUCUUAUUCUUAUAUAUUCUUAUAUAAUCCUUAAUAUAUUCUACAUGUUCAGUAGUUUAUCUCUGUCCUUUGAUUUCUUUCAUUCUAUUUCUGAAAAAAUCAAAGCAAUCUACUUAAUACUGCCAUAAACAUAUAUGGUUUUACAUUUUCGUAGCAUCUCACAAAUUACAAGUAAUUUCAUGCAAUGAAAUUUGAGAUUUGACUUUGACAAGUGCAGGAUAAAUUCAAACCUGAGAUAUCAUAUUCAUUAGAUAUGGUUUUACAAGAUUCAAAGGUACUUAUUGCUUUCCACUAUUUUUUUAUUUUUUACAGUGUUUACAUUAUUAGUCUUUGUUUUUUAAUUUUUGAAUAAAUUUAAAAAUUGAUGAUGAUGAUGUAUGUUCGUAUCCAAGUGAUGAUGAUGUAUGUUCGUAUCCAAGUGAACGAGAUGAUAUUAUUGAAACAAAAAACUUAAGUUUAAGGUCAUGCUUAAGGAAUCUAAUAUAAACAAGCAGGAUGAAGAUGACAAGGUUGUAAAAUUUGUUGAUGAUGAAGCUCUUUUCAAGGAAUAGUGUCAUCCUUCUCUAAAAUACACUUUAAGUAUUACUUUGUAUAAAAAAAUAUAAAUUUCAAGUUCUAUAAAAACUAUAAAUUUUAUUUUAAUGAUAUUAUUGUAUGUCAUUAGGAUUCCCUGUUUAAAGGUGCACAAAACAAUGAAGGUGAUGAGAUUUUUGAGGUAAUUAUAUGUUGCAUUUGUAGGUUUUUAAAACGAAACUUUUCAAAAAAUAUAACAAUUUUGCAAUGAAGUAAUAGCGUACCUUUUAUAAUGAAAUUUCAGUUUUUUUUUCAUCACAAACAUGCACUUUUGCAUCAUGCUUAUUUAUUUUCUCUGCCAUAUCAAUCUUGACACAAACGAAAGAGAGUGAUAUCAUUAAAAAUUUAAUUUAUCAUUUACAUAAUUAUUAUACAGAUAUUUAUUAAAAUUAAGAAGUUAAAUAAAGUCUAAUAUAAUUAUGAGUUUUAUUCUUACCUAACACAGUUUUACACUAUGCAAUCUAUUACAGACUCCCAUCAAGAACAAUCUAUCAGGUUGUGGAUCAUCUCUAACAGAAAUCAGUGUUGAUUCAACAGAAAAACAAUAUACCAAAAGAAGCAAAUCUGGAGGAAAAUUGUCAAUGCAGGAAUAUGAUGAUGAAUGUAAUGACAAACAAUCCACCAACAAGGUUCACAAAGUGAUUAAGAAGGAAAAAAAAUAUUAGUAGGAAAGUCAUGUUCAACUGUAAUCUUUUCUGCUAAUUUUAAUUUCAGUUUAUUUUGUAAUGAAUACAAGAUCUUUUAGUUAUGAACAAGUACAAUCUUAGAUAUUUGCAUAAUUUAAUGAAGAAUAUGUGUGGUUGUUUCGUGGUUAUUUCACUCCAGAAACUAGAAAGUUUUUCAUGUAUGGCUAAAAUAGAAUGUCUUUACAAUUCAUUCUAUACAAUUAGUUUCUUUGAUAAUACCUAAACGCAAGUAAUUUUUUAUUUAUAUUUAACAGUCAAGAGAAAUACAUAUUUUCAUUGUUUAUCACAGAAGAAAUACCACUAAGAACAUUCUCAUUUUAGGCAAACUAUAAACACUUUCCAGCGACAAAACGAAUAUUUUAUCAUCCUAUUUGUUUGUGGUAACAUCAAGAGCGUUGUUUCAAAUAGCUCUUAUAGUGAAUAUAUUUAAUUAAUCCUGUUAAAUAGCAUAUAAAUGAGUACAAACUGUUGAAAUAAAGAAGCAAAUAAAUAUAGAAAACAUCAAAACCUGCAGAAUCGAAAUUCGAAAGCUACAACUAGAAUAUAAUUGGCAUGAACCCAGGGAGGUGCAAAAGAUGAGUAAAACCACAUAUGGAGGCAAGGAUCAUAUUCUCAAAAAAACUCACAAAGCAAAAGAGUUAGCUAGCUUCCUUUAGGUCAAUAUUUUUAUGUUAUGCAGUAAUACAUCACAUGUAAUAUCAAUAAUGGGUUAUAAAUUUGUUCUAUUUAUAUAUACUUGACAACAAGUAGAAGAAACAUUAUACCAAUCCAUCUGAGAUCGUAGCACUAUUAUUGGUAAAACCGGCUGAGUAAACAACAGAGAAAAAAAAAA